GUUUGAGGGUCCUCUAAUUUAAAGCCAUGUGUGAUCAAGGACCUCUCAACCACUCUCAUGUGUGUCUCUAAAAAUUCCAUCGGAUAUUGUUUGCUUUGGCUGGCUAACAGUAACUAAAACAAUAGAAAUUAUCCUAAUAAGUGUGUGCAUUUAACACCGUGCAAUGAAGACAUAAAUGUGUUCCUACUUACAAUGUACCAGAGUAGAUUCUUGUGUGUGCCAUUUAGAUAAAACUAUUAGCAAACCAUGAUAAGUGUGUGCAGCAUCAAAAUAAUUUUGUGCGCAUACAUGAUAGCUAUGUGAUGCAUGGAGUUAAUUGUGUGUUGGCAAAUAAAAGAGGUGUGCAAAUGGAAAUAAAUGUAUGCCACAUGAUUAUAAGUAUGUGUUACCAUGAAAUAAGAAUGUGCAGAGACAUGAUAGGUGUUGGAUGGAGUUAACUGUGUGCAAGCACAUAAUAGGUGUGUGCUAAAUAGAAAUAAAUGUAUGCCAUACGAAUAUAAGUGUGUGCUACAAAGAGAUAAGAAUGUGUGGAAACAUGAUAGGUGUGUGCUGGAUGAACUUAACUGUAUGCCAACACAUAACAAAUGUAUGCCAAUGGAAAUAAAUAUGAGCCACAUGAAUAUAAGCGUGUGCUACAUAGAAAUAAGAAUGUGUACCGAAAUGAUAAGCGUAUGCUGAGUAGACUUAACUAUGUGCCAGCACAUAACAGGUGUGUGCCAAGUGGAAAUAAAUGUGCCCAACAUGAUAAGUGUGAAGUAUGCAAAGACUUCUCCUCUCUCCUGCACACACUCUUGCAAUCUCUCAUCUUCUCGCUUCUCUAUCGGAGCCUGCCCCUAUCGCCUUCCUCAUAAGAGAAGUGCAACUCCUCCUCCCUAGGCUCUACUUCUUGAUCACCUGAUAUGGACAAAAAAUUAAGUUACGCAUUAGGUUAAAAUAGUGUUGAUGUUAUAUACAAAUGAACACCUAUACCUAAAAUCUUUGCUCCAAUGUAGGAGAUGUGGAUACAUGAAUGGUGGUCAGUGGCUUCUCAGAAGGCUAUUAGCAUGCUCAAUAGCCCAUGCCUGCCAAAAAUGAAUGUAAUCAUUGCAUUUGAAGUCAAUACAUCUCUUAAUAAUGAAAUUACAAACAAACAUAAAGAUGUUUACCACUAAAACAACCAUGCAACCAUUCAUAUGCCUAGUAGAUCUCUUGCCAGUCAUGUUCCUUCUCCUUACACUCUCGGCUAGAUUAGGUAUUCACUGGUGAAGAAAAACAAAAAUUGCAAGACCCCAACUAUAUGAUCUUAAGCAGUCUAAAUCAUCAAGAUGUGAACAUAAUACCUUAGAAACAUAAUGUAGAAAAUGAUAGUGCAACUGAAGUCACACUAGCCCAAGACUGCCAACCUCAAUGUGAAAAAAAUAAGCAAGCUACACACAGAGGAUUCCAAAGAUGAAUAAGAGUGAACAAUUAAUUAAAGCAACUCAAUACAAUGAUGGAGAACAAUCAACUUGUGGUUGUAUUCCUAAAUACAAUUGAUAGGGAAGUAUUUUACAGACUUCAUGGAGACUUCUAGUGCAUGCAUUCACAUUAAUUGCAUGCAAUUAAGACUGCAUAGAAAAAUGAACAGACAUUAUAGGAAGAUGGAUAAGUACAUGAAUAUAUUAAUGAUCCUUGCAUGAAUCUAGAUUAAUAUGUAUCUAGACUAUUCCAAACAAUCAACUUUACUAAUUUCAACACUCCCCCUUAAAGUGAUUUUUUGGAAAUGAGUCUGAGUUUAGUAUGGAGUGACUCGAACUAUCUUCUAGAGAGUGACUAGGUGAAAUUAUUGGCAACAUUCUCUUGAAUUUGCACCUCCAAAGCGCUAAUAGUGCCAUCAAGAACCUUUUCGCAAAUGAAGUGAUGCUCUAGCUCAAUAUGAUUUGUUCUAGCAUGACAUACUAGGUUUGUUGAAAGCUUUAUAGCACUUUGAUUGUCACCAAGAAGUAUAGUUGGCUUGUGGAUAGGUGAAUGGAUAUCUUCAACAAGUCUUCAAAGCCAAACACAUUCUUGAGCAACAAGAGCAGCAGCUUUAUAUUCUGCUUCUGUGGUUGACAAAGAAAUUGAAUCUUGCUUUUUACUACACCAAAAAAUACUUGUAUCACUAUAAAAGAAAAUAUAGCCAGAUGUAGAUCUUUGAUCAUCCAAGGCACCUCCCAAAUCAGCAUCCGUGUAGCCAAACAAAGAAAGAUUAGCUCCCCUUUUGUAGAAUAAUUCCGUAUCAAGUAAAGAACUUACAUACUUCAAGACUUUCUUUGCUGCUUCCAAAUGUGGCUUUCGUGGUGCUUGCAUAAACAUGCUAAUCAGCCCAACAGAGAAAGCAAUAUCCGGCCUUGUUAUGGUCAACUAAAAAAGACUAUCAAAAAGUGUACGAUAAGGCCGAAGAUCAGCCAAUCAAAAGGGAACCUUCUUCACAUUUCAAUUUCACAUUCAUAUUAAGUGGAGUGUAACACUUUCGUUGUUUUAAUCCAAAUCUGUCAACAAGCCUCUCUGCAGUACUUUUUUGAGUUACAAAAAAAAUUCAUUUAUGGGUUUUUCCACCUCUAAGCGAAGAAAAUGACUUAGUUCUCCCAAUUUCUUCAUAUCAAAUCAAAUACAAAGUUCUUCUUGAAGCUUCGCAACUUUUCCUUCAUCAUUGCAUGUUAUUAUCAUAUCAUCUACGUACAAAAGAAUAAUCACAUGUAAUCCUUCAUGCUUCUUGAUAAACAAACUUGGAUCUAAAUUAGAAGUAACAUAGCCACAAAAUUGCAAAUAUUGAGCAAUGUUACCGUACCGAGCUCUUGGAGCUUGUUUUACCCCAUAAAGGACUUUCUUGAGCUUACACACAAAAAUUGAAUGAGUGCUAGAAAUAUAACCAAGUUCACCUUCUAUAGUCUUUUUGAACUCCAAAAAUCUGGUAAAAGCUUCUAACUUAUGCUUUACAAAAAAAACCCAUGUCAAUCUUGUAAAAUCAUCAACAAAAAUUAACGUGUAAUGAAAUUUAGAAUAAGAGAGAGUUCUAGUUGGUCCCAUUAAGUCACUUUGAAUACAUUCUAGUGGAGCCUUACACCUUGAGAGAGAUUUGUUAAAUGGGAGAUGAUGUGCCUUUCUAUAUUAACAACCUUCACAAAUUUCUCCAUUACCAAAAUUAUUUAAAUUUGGAAGCCCUAAUACCAAGUUCUUUUGCACCAUAACUCUUAACUUAUUCAUGUUAAGAUGCCCAAGACUAACAUGCCAUAUGAAUGAUUACCAUUGCUGCUCAUCUUCUCAAUAUAAGAUGUAGAAGUAGACAAAACAAAUAAAUCAUCAACUCUCUUAUCGGUGUAGAUGACAUUGGCCUUCAACACUUUAAUAUUUUGGAGCAACUUCACGUCAUGUGGACCAAACAAUACAUAGUUACCAGAAUCUACUACAUUAUCCAUUGAAAAGACGUUUUUCUUCGUACCGAGACAUGAAACACAUUGUUAACUAUGAUAGAAUCAUCUUUUUUUGCCAUUGAUAACAACGUCGCUUUUUUUCUCGACAGAAUGGAUAGUAUUGUCGGCUGUUACAAUCACAUCUUUCCCUUCAUAAUGACGAAAACUUGAAAACUUUGAGUCAUCUCCAAUUAAAUGAUGGCCACAAGCAGAAUCCACGAUCCAACCAUUUUAAAAUUAAUUGAAUUCAUAGAAUCAAUUGUGGUUGUCUUGGCCAUGAAGCGCUUUCCCCAAUCUUCUUCAUUUAGCUAAUUAUCAUGCUUUAAAGUAUCAUCCAUGUUGCUUUCUUUCAACUUGACACGACAAUUUCUUCUUAUAUGCCCAAGUUUACCAACUGAUAACACUUAAAGGUUUUCUUGUUAUCUUUAUUUGAAGAAUUUGUAGCAACACUAUUCAUGCCUGAAUCAUUCUUCUUCUCUUUUUCUUUAAAAUUCUUCUUUCUAGUGAGCAAAGCGCUUCCUUCUUCAUGUUUUAUUGAAACACCGGUCAUUUGUUCUGCCAAGGAUUUUUGUGAGGAUAAGAGAUUGUCAAACUCUUCCAAAGAUGGUUGUUGAGCCCAUCCUUGGAUUGAUGUAACAUAAGGAAUAUAUUCUAGUUUCAAGCCACAAACAAUAUUUUACUUCAACCAUGCUUCAGAAAUUGGUUCCUCCAUAUCCAAAAAAGAAAUUUCUGAACACAGAUUUUUAAUUUUUAGAAAGAAUUAAGCAAUUGACAGAUCACCUUGUAUUGUAUUUGCUAACUCGUUCUCUAACAUUUGCAGCCAACCUUAUCUUUUUUGUUGAACAAUUUGUCCAGGGUCUACCAUAUUUCACUUGCCAAAUUACACCGUAUAAUAUGAUCAAAUUAAUAUGAGAAAUACAUCGCUUCAAGACAAAUUCUGCUAUAGUAUUUUUUUUGCUUCCAUUGCCUAAGAUCUUCAGCAUUUUCUACUGUAUCAACUCCAUCGACAACCUUCCAUAAGUCUUCAUCAACAAGAUCAGACACCAUACAUGUUCUCUAUACUCCAUAAUUAGACUAGUUUAGCAAUUCCACACCAAGUCCACCAAUACAACCACUCAAAUUAUCUUGGAGCACCAGCUGAUUUUCUUCAUCAAGGGAUCUUGUCACAUACCAGCUACCACCUUUGUAGCUCUGAUACCAUGUAGGAAAUACUAAUACAACCGAAGUCACACUAGCCCAAGACCACCAACAAUAAUGUGAAGAAAAAAAACAACCUACACAUAGAGGACUCCAAAGAUGAAUAAGAGUGAUAAUUAAUUAAAGCAACUCAAUACAAUAAUGGAGAACAAUUAACUUGUAGUUGUGUUCCCAAAUACAACUGAUAGAGAAGUAUUUUAUAAAAUUUAUGGAGACUUCUAGUGCAUGUAUUUACAUUAAUUGCAUGUAAUUAAGACUGCAUAGGAAAAUAAACAGACAUUAUAGGAAGGUGUAAAGAUGGAUAAGUACAUGAAUAUAUUAAUGAUCCUUGCAUGAAUCUAGAUUAAUAUGUAUCUAGACUAUUCCAAACAAUCAACUUUACUAAUUUCAACAUAGUAGUGCACGGUUGGGAAGAGGAUUGUCACAAAAAUAUAUAGAACCCAUAAUUUUGUGAAAUCCUCUAUAUCUUCUUGUCCACUCUUUCCAAUAAGAUAUUUAAAUUUAUUCUUUACUGUAUCCAUGUCAGUCUUUUCGUGAUCACAACUAAGUGAUGAGGUUAGACUUAAUCCUCCCCACCCUCUACAAUUCGACUUCAUCUCUUGUGGCCCUCAAACCAAGAAUGAGGGCAAAAUCAGUCCCUAUAAAAGGCACCAAUAUCUUGCCAAACCAAAAUCCUCCUUAUCAUCAUCCCAGAAGGAGAGCAAUGUAUCUAGAAUUGGCCUACUCUACUUGAUAUAUGGAAGAGCUAGCACAUGUCCAAAUGGAGUGCCGAUCACCCUUUUCUUCUAUUCCUAAUAUAUAGACUCAACAAGGGUCACGGUGAGAUGUAUGAAGUGGUUGAAGUGGCACCUUUCAUUGACCAUAUUCUUUGGUCCAAUAAAAGGUGUUUUAUCUCUCCUUGAAUUGGAGCACUCUUCACUUUUUCGAAUUUGAUGUUGCUCCAUUUUAGCCUUCCCAUCUUAGAUCUUUGCAUCAUGAAUUAGAUUCAAAUAAUACUUAUUAGUAAUAUCAUUGCAAAAUUAGAAACACAUAUUUGACUAAAUCAUCAUGUAUUAUUGAAUGUUCUUCAUAACUCUAAUAAAGGAAAUUCAACAGAAAUGAUAGUGAGAUAACCAUCAAUGAAAGAUGAUAAUGAUAUUUCCAUGAGAAAUAUGACCAAGGUACUAGCUCAAGCUCUCAAUCCAUUUUAUUUCCAAAUAUGAACCAUUCUUGCUAUGAAAAAGCAGAUGUCAACUGAAACUACCACAAAUGUCCAUUCUUCUCAAAGUACUAUCAAUCAAAUAUCAGCAAGUUUAAUUUAAUUGUUUCAGUAAUUACUGUCAAACUAAUACCAAAAGUGAAGAAAAUAGUAGAACUAACAUUAUUUAUUGUGCAUAACCUUCAAGUAAUGACAUAGUAUAUUAUAUAACAAUUUGGUGUUUGUCUAUAAUCAAAUUAAUUAUGCUUUAAUAUCGAACUAAAGAUAGAUGCAAAUUUGAUUCUGUAUGAUACAUGUGCUUAGUGGAUAAUAACAACAAUGCGAGUAAAAAUUGGAUUUGAAAGAUAUACAACUCACAUAGAAUAAGUAGAUAAGGGUGGAAUGAUCGAUUAAUCUAGCCGGUGAGAGAAGGGAGUCGAUGCAGGCUGUAGAGAUGAUGAACGCUCAUUCAUGCUAGAGACACAAUGGUACGCCCAUGCACGUAGAAGAGAGGGUGAGAUGGUGAGUGAAGAGAAAAAUACAAAGGAGUGAGAGAGUUGGGAGGCCGGAAUUUAGCACGUCGAUGCCACACAAAUAGGGCAUUCAUAGAUUUCAGCUGGACGGAGGAGUGGGGAAACCAGAAGGGUUGGGAAGAAAGGUUAGGAUCGGCCAUAGGAUUUUUUCCGAAGAACUUUUUUAUCCACUGAGGCGCAAGGUGUGAUAGAAGGGAGGAAAGCAAGUGGGUGCCAGUGAUGAAGACGGCGAGUCGCAGCUUGGACGAGUAGGGCAAGGUGGCGGAGUGAGAGGGAAGCACGGUGGAGUAUACGGAAGAUGCGGUUCGACAAAAUAGGGGUGCAAAAAAUUGGGAAGAAGGGUUUAGGGAUGAAAAAAUAUGGAGGGUAUUUUCGUCCUCCAGGGAUGUAUAGUUAAAAACCAAUUUGCAUGUGGACCGGAUGUUAUAAAACCAGUUCACAAAGGUUAACAAUUAAGGCAUGGUCCAAAGAUGGACUGGCCAUUAAUUUCCCCAAAAUCUUUGGCUUGAUGUUUGGAAAGUAGGAAUUUUCGAUUUCACAAAAGAACAAUCGCAUGUGACCUCAAAUGAAGCUCCUUGCAGCAAGUUCUCUCUUCUUAAUAUUCUGUUUGAUGAGGAACAUAUAUAUGCUGCAGAUAACUUUCAAGACCUCAAUCUAGACGCAGUUCCUCAUGGAAUAGAAUAUGCUAUAACAAUAAAUGAUGGACUUUUUUUUUUUUCCCCUUUUGUUGAUAAAAGGAGAAGCAAGAGCUCUACCAAUAGACAUAGAAAUGAACAUAAACAACUCAUUUAAGUGCAUUGCUACUGAUUGACACAGAACUGAUUAAUUUUUCAUGAUUCCCUGAUUAGCAGCCAAGAAUUUAACUAACAUUUGGAUGGCAUAUUUAUACACAUGGCCACCAAACUGCAAAGCACUGAUUGGCAGCAAAAAGUUUAAAUUAUACUUCUGCUGACAUAUUUAUAUGCAUGACUCAAAUGGCAGAACACUGAUUGUUUCCUGAUUCCUUGGUUAGCAGCAAAGAACAUAGUUUACUCUUCUGCUGACAUAUUCAUGUGCAUGACCAUCAAUUGGCAGAGCACUGGUUUUUCCAGUUCCUUCAUUAACAGCAAGAACUCUCUUCUGCUCACACAUUCAUUUUGAUUCGAGACUGAGAAGCGACUUCAAGUAUCUCAAGUUUCCAGAGAUAAAAUUUAGUAAGUUGUUCUACAACCCCCAGUGCUGAGGUAGCUACUUUGUUUCUUGGACAGUCAAUUUUCCUGCCAAAACCUUAAUGCAUGACAGGCUGAAUGUCCAUCAGCUCCACGAAGAUAAUUCUCUGAUAAAUCCCCCACAAGGUUCAUCCGGUACAAAGAUUAGCAGGAUUCUUGUAUGGGCAUAACCCCAAAUGUAGCAUAAUUUGGAUCUGCUGCCUCUUCAUUUUUGAAUCAAAAGCUAUUCUGAUGUAUUUAGGGGGAAUGAAACUCUAGCCUCUUCCAAUUUGUUCUUAAGAAAAUCAACCAAAUCACUCAUUCUAGGAUGCCAUAUAAGAAGAAGUCCUUCAUUUGAGCAGAAAAGGACUUCAACAUUCACUUUCAGUGACUUGCAGCAAUGAAAUCUCUUCUUGCUCCAACUCUAGCACGGAGUGGUGGCUCAUGUGCUCCAUCAAGUUUUCCAACAUCCUCCAAAUCUCUAGCCGCAAUGGGUGUGCUUGAUCGCCUGCAACAAAUGAGCUAACUUUACCAUUCACCUCGAUUACACUACAAGCAGGCGAUUUCUUAAUUCCCCGACUGCCUAUCAGCUUUCGAACUUUGCUUGCCUCCUCCCUCCUGUUGGCACUGAGAUAUAUGUUCGACAACUGGACGUACACACCCUCAUCAUCUCCAUUACCAUCCGUGAUCCUCUGGAGCUCUGCAACUGCUAGCUCUGCAAGCUCGACAUUUCCAAAAAUCCUACAACCAGUGAGCAAUGAUCCCCACACAGAAGCCCGUGGCCUCAUUGGCAUCCCAUGAAUAAGUCCCAAAGCAUCAUUUAACCGGCCUACCCUGCACAGCAUGUCAACAGCACAGCUGUAGUGCUCAUGCUCGGGCUUAACACCGUAGCAUGUUUCCAUUUCAGCCAGCAGCCGCAGGCCAUCCUCCACAAGCCCAGCAUGUGCACAGGCCGCAAGGGAACCAAGAAGAACGAUGCCAUCCGGGUGCACGCCGUCCUCCAGCAUCCGGCCCAAGCAGCAGAUCGCCUCCUUUGCUAGCCCGUGCACUGCAAACCCACCAAUCAUCGUAGCCCACAUGUGGGUGUUCUUCUCCGGCACAGCGUCGAACACCCUGACAGCUUCCUCGAUGCAACCGCACUUGGCAUACAUGCUCACGAGAGACGAUGCAAUGAAGGUGUCAUUCAAGAAAGAUGGGUCCUUCUUCUCAAUGUACCUAUGAAUCCAAACCCCCUCCCUGAAAGUGCCGGAAUGAGCACAAGCAGUGAGAGCCGUGGUGACAGUGAACUCGUCGGGCUCGAUCCCAGCGAGCAGCAUGUCCCGGAAGAGGCGCAGCGCAUCAGAGGGGAGGCCAUGGCGGAUGUACGCGUUCAUGAGGACGUCCCAGUGGACGGGGUCUCUCUGAGGGGUUUCGUCGAACAGCUUCCUGGCUUCGUCGGGGAGGCCGGCGUAGAGGCGCAGGAGGGCGGUCUGGACGUAGUGGUCAGCGGAGGCGAGCCCGUUCUUAUAGACCAUGGAGUGAAUUUGGGCGCCGGCGGGGAUGGAGGGGAUCGCAGCGCAGGCGGCGAGGGCGAAGGGGUAGGAGUGAUGGUCGGGGGAGGCGGAGGGGGAGCGGAGGAGAAGGCGGAAGAAGGCGAGGCCGCGGGCGGGGUCGGGGCCGCGGGAGUGGGCGCGGAUGAGGGCGUUGUAGGAGAAGGCGUUGAGAGGGGCCGGGGGGUGGCGAAGGAGAAGCGCGGCGUGGAAGAGGGCGGGAGGGCGGAGGGAGCAAGAGGCAAGGACGAGGCGGCCGAGGACGGAGGGGUGCCGGAGGGGACCGUGGGUGAGGAGGAAGGCGUGGGCGGCGCGGAGCUGCCGCUCGUCAGAGCAGCGCCGGAGGAGGGAGAAGCACCACUGCCAUGGCGGCGGGGCGCCUACCAUCUGUUUGGUCGGGUCUGCGUCCGGGUCCCAUAAGACCAAACAGCCGUGGAAGGCGGUCCGGUUUGCCUUUUUCCUAUUUUCGACGAGUAAAUGGCUAAAUACUACGAGCCGUUGGAUGCACUUCAACCCGUGUAAUUUUUAUAGGGUGUACACUCAUGCUCUUUUUGGACUUGGAUGAUGGGAGUUCAACAUUAAUAUUGUUCACCAGCCAUGGAGGCAGUGCCGGCCCGAGCGUUAGGCGACCGAGGCGGUCGCCUAAGGCCUCAGGCCAAUGGAGGGCCUCCGGGAGGCGUGACCAAAAGGAAGCAAAGGCCCCAUGUGAAAACAGGAACAGGAGCUUCCCCCUUGAUGGAAGGCUACGAGUCUUCCCCAGUGCCGGCCCGAGCGUUAGGCGACCGAGGCGGUCGCCUNNNNNNNNNNNNNNNNNNNNNNNNNNNNNNNNNNNNNNNNNNNNNNNNNNNNNNNNNNNNNNNNNNNNNNNNNNNNNNNNNNNNNNNNNNNNNNNNNNNNNNNNNNNNNNNNNNNNNNNNNNNNNNNNNNNNNNNNNNNNNNNNNNNNNNNNNNNNNNNNNNNNNNNNNNNNNNNNNNNNNNNNNNNNNNNNNNNNNNNNNNNNNNNNNNNNNNNNNNNNNNNNNNNNNNNNNNNNNNNNNNNNNNNNNNNNNNNNNNNNNNNNNNNNNNNNNNNNNNNNNNNNNNNNNNNNNNNNNNNNNNNNNNNNNNNNNNNNNNNNNNNNNNNNNNNNNNNNNNNNNNNNNNNNNNNNNNNNNNNNNNNNNNNNNNNNNNNNNNNNNNNNNNNNNNNNNNNNNNNNNNNNNNNNNNNNNNNNNNNNNNNNNNNNNNNNNNNNNNNNNNNNNNNNNNNNNNNNNNNNNNNNNNNNNNNNNNNNNNNNNNNNNNNNNNNNNNNNNNNNNNNNNNNNNNNNNNNNNNNNNNNNNNNNNNNNNNNNNNNNNNNNNNNNNNNNNNNNNNNNNNNNNNNNNNNNNNNNNNNNUCUUUUCUUAUCCUGCUCUUGCUUGACAUGGUAAACAGUAUUGCCCAGCAUUAUCUCAAUUAUUUAAUCAGUUUUAUGGCCCGGCAAUUACAUUUCUGUGUUUCCAUUCAAAAAUUAUAUUAAACUGAAAAAACUUUUUGUCUACUUUUGUUAGAUUCAUGUAUCUUUGUUGAAAUAGUGUACUUGAUAGCUAUCUAUUUUCAUAUUAUUUUUUUAAAUAUUUUAUAUUUAUUAAAAAAAUUUAUUAUUAAAAAAAGGCCUCAUUCAUUGGAUUCGCCUUAGGCCCCCAAAUGUAUCGGGCCGCCCCUGCAUGGAGGCCAAUGUAAAUUGGCACCAAACAAAUUAAGAUUAUGCGGUGCGGGAGCUGUAAAUUGAUUUGAAAAUGGUUCGGGUGCGCUGGAGAUUGGACUUGAAAUGGACAUGUUGGGUUUGUCGAAUGCCAAGUUGGCAAAGCCUCGACUCAAUCCAUAAUUAUUAUAGUUCAAGUUUUGAAAUGAAUAUAUCAUCCCAGGAUUGUUGAGACUGAAGCUAGAAAAUGGAAUGACACACCGGGCUUGUUAGGACAAGACUUAGAAUAAAGGAUGGCACAUCAAGAAUAUUAGGGGUGGCAACAUGAUGGGUAUGAUGGGUUAGUAGGUUAUUAUCCAUAUGUACCCCACAAUAAGAAAUCACGUUCCCAUGCUUGCGCCAUACCUAUCUUGGGGAAGGGUUGGGUCGGAUAGAGUUAAACAAAAAUAGUAUGAAUUGUGCUACCUUUUAGGGUGGAGAAUUUAGUAAAAGGUUUAGGGUUAUAUCAAAUUAGGUCAUAUUCGAGGGGCCAUUACUUCGGCACCCGCCCCUAAUUUACCAAGAUUUUAUAAUCGAAACCCAUCCCCCACCGGCUCGAGUUGGGUUGGGUAAAACCAACCCUAUUAGGAUUGAGUCAAGUCGGAUAUCCGAUGGUAUAGCUUAAAUUGCCAUCUCUAAUCGAGGUUGUUGAGAAUGAAGCUUGGAAGCUAGAUGAUACCCAAAAUUAUCAAGAGAGAAGAUAAGAAAAGUAGAUACACCACAAGAUUGUCACCAGUCAAGCAAGAAAAUAGGUAGAAGAUAUCAUAGGAUUGCCGAAGGUACGAAUGGAUAUGGAUGAUAUAAUCAGUUUAGAAAAUUUAGGAGUUUGAUUAGUGCUCACCGACAAAACAUUGAAUGAUUGAGUACAAGAAACAGAUGCUGCUUGCUCAAAUGGAAUAGGCAUAGAGGAGCUAUUAUAUAAAGGCUUGCAAGAUCAUCCUCCAAGCCUCCCAAAUACAAUGAUGGGUAGCCAGCACUGGACUAUGUGCUGGUGAAGAAACCAGUUCAACACUGAUUGGAUCCAUGACUAGCCUCAGGCCAUGGCUGCAAGCCCAUAUCUAUGAUUAUGGGCAUUCAUAUGGAAGCUUGGACUACAUCUAAUGGUGGCCUAAUUUGAAAUGUACUCGAACGACAAUCUAACCUAACCAGAGGGUUAGCAUGAAGCCUGGGCAGCAAGGGUUGCAAGCUAUCAUUGUUAGAAUUUCUGGAUGAUUAUAUACUGGAAAAACACUAAGAUGGACCAUAGCCCAAAACUUUAUGAAUCACAACUUUAUUUGGGCUUUACCAGUCAAUCUAUCUGAAUCACUUUCAACUCAUUUUUCGCAAAUAGUAUAAAACACGCAUCUAAUGGCAACCCACAUUUUAAAUAAAAUCUUACAUUCUCCCACUUGGGCAAUAUUGAUUGUUGGGGUUUUAAAAAAAGUGUUAUACUUAUUUUAGGAAAAUGACUCUCAGGUUGAACAACUUUGUGGCCACAUAAACAUGAUUCAGAAGAGAACAUCUCAGUACAGGACCCGAUCUAAUAAAAAUAUCAAUAGAGAACUAUGGCGGUAAUUGUGUUAUUCAUCAGCACAAGACCUUCCAUAAUUACAAAUAUCAAUACUCCAUUGACAUGGAUCCCUGAAUGUGGUAAAGUGUAGUGUGACAUUUGUGCACAAGUGAUCCACAACUAUAUAACAUGCCAAUGCCACAUCCACUGGAAGAUCUCAACACACUUCCACUAGAAGAGCUUCUUGGAUCCCUAAUGACAUACAAGAAGUGAGGAUGAGACCUAAAGAAAGAAAGCUAUAGCCUUAAAGGCCACUGCUAAAAAAAGAAGGCUAUUUAAAAUAUAGCAUGCUGUAUUUAUAGCUUCAGCCCAAAAAUAUCUAGGAAGAUUGCCUUCACAUAGCAUGGUACGAGCCAUUUCUUCUAAUGUCUUAUUCUUUCUUUCUACUAUCCUAUUUUGUUGAGGUAUCCUAGGUGCUGAAAAAUUGUAGUUUAUCCCAUUUUUAUUGCAAAAGUUUUCAAAGUAAUGAUUUUCAAAUUUAGUGCCAUGAUCACUUCUAAUUGAGAUAUUAGUUGUGUCUUUCUCAUUUAGAAUUUUCUUAUAGAAUUUUUGCAAUGCUGAAAAAGUUUCAACCUUGUGUGCCAAAAACAGUACCCAUGUGAAUCUAGAAAAAUCAUCUACUAUUACAAGACUAUAUUUCUUUCCUCUUAGACUAGUAGUUCUAGUAGGUCCAAAAGAUCCAUAUGAAGUAAUUCUAGUGACCUAGAAGUUGAAAUAGUAUUUUUAGAUUUAAAAGAAUUUCUUAUUUGUUUACCUAAUUGACAUGCUUUACAUAUUCUAUCUUUUUCAAAAUUUAACUUAGGAAUUCGUUUAACUAUUUUCUUUUUGAUUAACUUAGAUAUUAGAUCUAUACUUGUAUGACCUAAUCUACGAUGCCAUAGCCAACUAGCUUCAUUAACUUUAACAUCCGUGGCAACUAGACAAUGACUACUCAUAGUAAGAUCAUCUAGAUUUAUCAUGUAUAUAUUGCCAUGUCUAUGUCCCAUAAUGAUGAUGCCAUUGUCUAUGGGGUUAGUUACAAUGCAUAGAGAUGUAUCAAAAGAAAUCUUAAAUUUUUUAUCACACAAUUGACUAAUACUAAUAAGAUUGUGCUUUAAACCCUUCACAUAUAAUACAUUAUCUAUAAAGGUAGAGGGAGCGAUUUAGAAUUUACCAAUACCGAUAAUACGACCUUGGCCAUUAUCACCAAAGGUCACUACUCCUCCUUCCUUUGCUUCAAGGGUAAAGAAUUAAUUUUUGUCACCCGUCAUAUGUCUUGAGCAGCCAUUAUCAAGAUACCAGCUCCUUUUAGUUUCCUUGGCUGCAAGACAUACCUGGUUUUCAUAUGCUAUGAGACAAAGGUUAGCCAUUUCUUGAGGUUCAUCUUCAGAUAAUGUCUCCUCACUAUCACUCCAUGUUGCUACAAAGGCCUUCUUCUUCUUCUUAAACAUUUUUUUAGUAGAGGAUAAUCUUGCUUGAAAUGUCCAGGUUUCUUACACUUAUAGCAUAUCAUAGGUUCCUUCCCUUUUUCUUUUUUUGAUUCUUCUCUAACCAUAGGAUAUCUCUUGAAGUGUGACUUCAUUCUCCUCAUAAAUUUGUUGAAUUUCCUUGCUAGGAGUGCCACAUCAUUGUCUUUUUCUUCUUCACUGCUGUCCUCAUAUUCCUUUUGAGCAGUGGCCUUUAAGGCUAUAGCCUUCUUUCUUUGGAUCUCAUCCUCAUUGUGUUGCUUCAUGGUCAGCUUGUAUGCCAUUAAGGAUCCAAGAAGUUCUUCUAGUGGAAGCGUAUUAAGAUCUUUGGCCUCUUAAAUCGCUAUCACUUUGGCUUCUCAUGACCUUGGAAGGGACCUAAAAAUUUUUCUGACAAGAUUCGUGUUAGCAUAUAAUUUAGCUAAACUUUUUAAACCAUUAACAAUGUCAGUAAAUCUAGUAAACAUAGUAGUUAUGGAUUCAUUUAGUUUCAUUUUAAACAAUUCAUACUUAUGCACUAAUAUGUUAAUCUUGGAUUCCUUGACUUGAUUGGUACCUUCAUAAGUAACCUCAAGUCUAUCUCAUAUGUCUUUGGCAGAAAUGCAGGUUGAAAUUCUAUUGAAUUUAUUAAGAUUUAAUGCACAAUAUAAAACAUUCAUUAUUUUGGCAUUCAAUUGUGCUAACUUCCUAUCAUUGUCAUUCCAAUCUCUCUCAGAUUUGGGGAUAACUACAUUAUCUAUUAUGUGCGUGGGGAUAUGUGGUCCAUUAAUGAUUAUGCUCCAAAUGUCAUAAUCUUAUGCUUGAAUGAAAAUUCUCAUUUUUGUUUUCCAAUAGAUAUAAUUUGUUCCAUUGAACAAAGGGGGCCUAUUGGUGGAUUGGCCUUCAGCUAGAGUAGAUCCAAAGGGGGUUGCCAUCUGAUCUUUAGCUUUUGACAGUUAGGUCAAUAAUUAAAAUUAGAGCACCUGCUCUGAUACCACUUGUUGUCCAAAAAACAACCCAGGAGGGGGGGAUGAAUUGUUUCUUUAAAAAUUAUGCUAUUCAAAUUUUACUUAGCGAAAGGUUUCUUGAUUUUAAGCUGAAGCAAUAAUGAAAAUGCAGUAAAGAAGGAAGGACAAAUAAAUCACAAUACCAACACACAAGGAUUUAUAGUGGCUCGGAGUUAACUCUUGCUCCUAUGUCCACUCCCCAAGCUCACUUGAGAAUUUACUAUAAUCCUCAGAUUACAGUUCGGUUGUUUUGCAAGUUCACAACCCAACUCGUUGUUUUACCAUGAUCACAACAAACCCAGUUGGUUUUUUCUGGAUCACCAACUUAAAACCAAAUCUCAACCAACCUUGGUUGAAUACAGUCUAAUUCACGGGCUUGGACAAAGCCUUAACCUCUUGAUUCAAUCCCCUGAUUGAAUCAAGUUACAAGAUAAGAAAGGAUUGUUUUAGAAUAGUUACAAGCUUCUUUUAUACAAGCAGAUAUAUCAAUUUAAAUAAAAGAGUAAAGAAAGAAAGCCUGUAAGCAAAGAUGCUGCUGGAAGAACUUUGGCUUCUUCUUUAGUUGACCCUCUUCUGAUUUGACACGAAGUUGAGGAUCACUGAGGCAGCUUUGAUUGGAGAGGAAGCUUUGAAUUCAACCACUUACUUUUCUUCUCUCUUUUUUUCUUUGAAUGACCCUUGAAUACUCUUAAUGAGGUGUAUGUAUUGAAUGCUCUUUUAGAUCCCUUUAAUACUUUGAAUAGUUAAUGAAAAACUGUAAAACACACCUUCAUAUAGUCUUCUUCUAGAGAAAUAGCAAUUAGACGCUAAAAUCUAGUCGUUCUGGCACUUCUGAAUUUCUAACAAACUAGCUGUUGGAGUGCCAGUAGAUUUGGAGACGUCUCGACUUUUCUGUGAGUCGGCUCGUCUCAGGUUGGAGACUUUUCGAGUCUGUUUGGAGUCGACUUGAGAUCGGGCUCUUUAGAAAUGAGUUUCUGUUCAUCCUAUGGGAGACGACUCGCGUAUAUCAGGAGUCGGCUCGCGCUCUACCUCAUUCAAAUCGGAUUCUGUUUUCAUCUGCAGGAGACGGCUCGCAAAAGUCUAGAGUCGACUCGCGCACUGCCUCGUUGAGAAUGAGUUUCUGUCUUUCUGCGGAAGAUGGCUUGCGACAGUCUGGAGUCGACUCGCGCACUGCUUGCAAAAACCAUUCUUCUUUCUUUUCUCUGAAGGAGACGGCUCGCGUAUAUCGGGAGUCGGCUCACAUUCUGCCCGAAGAAAAGUGCUGUUCUGUUCUUCAUUGUGGAAGAUGGCUCGCGCUCAGCUGGGGUCGUCUCGCGCACUGGCACGUUUGAGACAGUCUUCUGUCUUACUGCGGGAGUCGACUCGCCUCAGUCAUGAAUCGACUCGAGAAUAUGCCAGCCCAUUUUCUUUGAACCUUUUCCUAAUAAAUUCUUCUUAAGUUUUUAUGUAUUUUUUUCCUAAAACACUCACUUAAAUUUAUUAGUACAAUUAGGAAUAUACUCAUGUGUUUUGGGCUCAUCAAAAUCAAAUAGGAGAUCAAACACAAUUGAUCAACAGAAAGGUAAAAUUCAGCCAUAGUAUGUAUAAAAUAAACCAAAGUGUUAAGUCUUGGCCACAAAGAUGGCUAAUAGAAGACCAAGAUAGGUAUUCUUGAAGAUUAGAAGACUAUUUCCAAGGUCGAAUAGAAUAGACGGCUAGUGCAAGCCAUAUUAGAAUAAAGUGAUUAUGCUUGUGUACAUGCAUAGUGGGAAGACAGUUGGCAAUUGUUAUCAAAACCACCAAGAGUAGAGAUUGAUGUGCGAAGCAACCGCCAAAGUGGACAGUUAUAGUAUUUGUGGGUAGUUAUUAUGUGUGAAUAUAAAUAGUAGAAUUGUACUUUGUAUUAGAUCCUUCAAUAGUUUAUUGGUCCAAUUUAUUUAUCUUAUCUUUUUGUUUAUUUUUUAUUCUAGAAAUAGACAUAACUUAGUUUUUCUACCAUAGCUCUAUGCUACGCCUCUUACUGUAGGUUCAUGUUAUACUCCUUAUCAUAGGUCUGUGCUAUACCCUUAUCGUAGCCCAAUAGUAUGUUUCUAUCUGGACCUAUCUCCUUUGAGUAGUGGUGUGACAGUAGUGAAAGUCCUUAAAGAUCAAGGCACCUAGACUCACUACUCUCUAUCCUCCCUUUAGAUCAUUAUCCUUUUGGUUGAUCCAACAUCGAUAGUAUGCCUGCACAUGUAUCUUCCAAUACUGCUAGAACUUGUCACUCCCUGCCAGCCAACCAAGUUUUCUAGGACCCUGAGUUCCUCGGCGCACCCGAAACAGGGUAGUAAAGGAGGGCCAACGUAGAUCUAUAAGAUAUUCCCACAAUUUCUUCAUUUUUUAAUGAUAUUUAGGUAGAAAUUUAGUCAUUUUGGGGAUUUUUUUAGAUAUUAUGGGUACAGAUGUCCAAAAAUUAUUUUAAUCAGAACAUCUAGGUUAUAGGAAGAACACGAUUCAAUUUUGAAACUAAUCUAGGUUAGUCUAACUAGAUUUUGAAAAUUGUCAAAUUUAAGCUCUAAAGUAACCAAGUCCGAUUAAGCCAACUUGCAUGUGUGGAAUUUGAUCAAGUUGAAUAGGGAAAAUUAAAUUGAACCUAUAAAUAAUUAAUGAGGGUAUAUAGAAGGUGGAAUUAUGGUACGCUAGAGAGAGUUAGAUUGUGUUAGUGUAUCAGGCAAAAUCAAGUGAAUUCAAGUUAAGCCCUUUCAAGUUAAUUUUGUGAAACUAGCAUGAAUCUCAUCCAAUUGAGCUUAAAAUUGGUUAGAGAUGGAAUUAGGAGGAAAAGUAUAAGAAUUAGCUUUGAAAUGAAAUAAGAUGGCUGGAAUUAGAUUGGAAUGGGUGAAUUAUGGUUCAAAAAUAGAGAAAAUAAAUCAAUUGAUGCCAUUUGGUGCGAUCAGAUUCAAUUGAUUGUGCAAUUAAUGAAUUGAAAGUACAAUGAGGUGAGUAUUGACCAAUAUAUGGCUAAUUGAAAUAAGAAAAAAGGGUUAGUGAAAUAAACAUCCACCAAAACCAAGAAACUUUUAGUUUAGGAGCAUGAUUGCUUAACUAUUUUAGAUCCAGGAGCUUAAAGGGAAUGCUCGAGUUUGUCUAAAAAUUGCAAAAAUGAAAGAAGAUUUGGCUUUCAAAUUACUAAAAUGAUUGCGAGCAUUACGAUGAACAUCCCUUUCCAAAUCUCUUCAUCUUUCAAUCAUCAUAAAAUUUGUUACACUUUGAAUCAAUCCCAAGACUUCCAUGAGUUUAAUCUUUAAGAAUAGCUAGAACUUGACUAGGUAGCAUCCCCUUGAUCUGUGAGAGUGACAAGCGAAGUUAGAGAGAGAGAAAGAUAGAGAGAGAUAGAGAGAGGGAGAGAGGGGGGAAGAGAGAAUAAGGGAAUGGAGAGAGGUAGUGGUCGGAAUCCUUCAUUCCAAGAUUUGUGAUGCAGCUACAAGGUAGGUAAAGAACCGACCUUGCUGGAUUCUCAAGCACCUAAGGGAGGAGGAGAGAGAAACCACCAACCAUAAAAGCGGUGAUAGGGACGGGGUGGCGAGAAGUAGAAGGGCCAAAAUAGAGUCUUGGCUCGGUUGAUGGAAGAGAAAAUGAGAGAUCCAAGGAGCCAAACUCGACUCCGACAUAGCCAUGGUGGAAUCGAGAGGACGGAAUGUGGCUAUGGCUAACCAAAUUGGGUGGCCAAAAGAGGAAAAACAAGGGUAUGGUGGAGUAGUGUUUAGUUUUAGAGGCAGGGACAUCGGUUCUAUCGUUACUAGAUUCGAUCGGCUGCUCGACUAAGUGGCAAAGCUAACCAGCUGAUUAAGAGGUAGUCGAAAGAAGGCUGGAGUUUACAGAAAUGUGGGUCUGAGACUCAAGCUAUUAAGAUAGCGGAUGCCCUAUCUCAAAACAAGGUUGUCCAUAGCUUGGCUCGAAAUUGACCAACUAUGCCACGAGAUCUAGCAAGCACGCUGGCUUGCAAACCACCAUAGAGGAGAGAAAGGAGGAGAAGAGAGGAUGAGAGAGGAAAGAGAUUACGUGGCCUGAAUAGGGAUUGGUUCUUGAAAUAGGUGAUGGUCUGAUUGUUGGUUGCUUGAUGAAAUUAGCAGCAAGAAGGCUCCGAUGCACCCUCAAGAACAUGAGAAAGGCUAGGGCAAUUGGAUUGAUAGAGGAUGAUGGUGAUGAUGGAGAAGAAUUGGAGGAGAGAGGGUGGGAAAAAUAGAGGAAAAGGAGGGCGAGGGUUUUGGGCAUCGCCGCUCACUCUCGCAAGUGGCUGACUUGAGAACCUCUCGAAGGUCACAUAGCCAUUACAAACACAAGCUUUGACUUCCCCAAUCCGGAUAAGCACUCAGCUGGAUAUUUGAAAUUUAGGGGUGGCAGUCGGGUCGGGUUGGACAUAAAUGAUCAAGUCAGAUGCCGGUCGGGUUAGAAAAUCAUAAACCUGAAGCCGACCUAUUUAUUAAAUAGGUCCGGAAUUACAACCAGAAUCUGUCAUGUUUAAUAAAUAGGUAACCCGAUCUGACCCGUUUAACCUGUUUAAUAAACAGAUAACCUGUUUGGAUAAGGGAAGGGGGAGGCCUCACAACCCAAAAAUUGUUGGGAUCUAAAGUAUAUUAAUAAUCACAAGCGUAAGGCCCAAUGAAUUAAUUAUUCCGUUGACCAAAACCCAUCCAAUCCAUCAAAUAGAACAUAUUUUUUUUAUAAAAAAUAGUAAAGUCAAAAACUUUCAAAUUAUUAUCAACGGAACCCGACAUAAAAAAGCUACACCAACGAUCGAGGGUAAACACAUCCAAUUGACGAAGACCAGAAGAAGAUGAGAGAAAGCAACAAAAGUGGGAGGGAGAAGGGGGGUGGACAAACCAGGGCGUGGCACUUUCCAGCCUGGAAGGAGACCUUCUGCCACCUCCCUCGUCACUCUCUUUGGCCGAGUGUCGAGUUUGCCGACUGGGAGGAGUGAGAAGUGAGAACCCAAGCCCAAGGACAGCGACGCGGCGAACGGGUGAAGGAAGGAACUCAGAAGAACUAAGGAACAGAAAGCUGGAAGGAAGAACUGAAGUCCGAAGAAGAAGAGGAAGGAAGAACGCCGCUCUCGCUCUGGUCUUCACUCCUCCGUCCUCUAGACGACUAGACCUAUGGACAACUGGACUCUAGUUACUACGGCAAAAUGGCGGAUGGAGAAGACGUGCUAUGCCUAUGGUUUUAUGGGCUAUCCGGCUAUGGAUGUCAGGGGGACAGUCACAGUCUCACAGAGGCUAUGGACAACAGUAGGACAGUCACAGACGUCUUAUCCAUUACUCUCGUAAGCCGUAAUCUACUGGCAAGCGUGUUCCGAGUUUCGAGUAGGCAGUAGGAGAGGGGGCCUUCUUUGGGUUUGGGUCGGCUCUGAACGGGUUAAAUGGGUUAAAUGGGUCAGACAUCUAAAAUAUGUAUCCGACCCAAUUAAUAAACAGGUUAAACGGGUCAACCUAUUUAUGAUCCGAACCUGUUUAGGCCAAACCCAAACAUGUUUAUGAUGAAUUGAACACGGAUUGGGUUGGCGGGUCGGGUCAUAUUUUGCCACCCCUAAUUUGAAUCCCAUGUUGUAGCUGGCGUGUUCACCGAGUUGACUCCACGACUCAAUUGAGUCAAGGUAAGGUUGAGGCUAAGUUCCAAGAUGCUAAGUUAUGGCCAAGUUAGGUGUUACACUGACCCAAUCAAUUAGUCGAUUGAGUCAAGUUAAGUUGAGUUCAUGAAAAUAAUUUUAGACCUAGCGAGUCAGGUCCUGGUCAUGUAUGAACCCAAUCCGAGCAUUCAAAUUCUGGUUGGAGCCGAAAUACAUCAGGUUUAUACUUCAAGUCAAGUAUCUAGCUUUUUUUGUUAUAGCUAAAAUAUAAUAAUAGAUAAUUUAAAAAUAAAUAAAAUUAAAAGAUCUAAUUUAAGCUUUAUUUUUUAUUUUAAAUUUUUUUAAUAACAUUCAAGUAAUUAAUCAUUUUUAAGUUUCUGUUCCAUAAUUUUAAAAUAUAUAUUCAUAUUUUGAAAGUAUUAUAAAUAAGAAUAAAAAAAUAAAUAACUAAAUUUAAAUAUUUAAAUAUAAUUAAGUAAAAAUAGAGAUCAAGAAAAAGGAAUCAGUUGAAAUGAGAGAGAAGAAGAUUAAGGUUUAUAUAAUUCAGAUUUUUGGAUAGAGCUAGAUUGGGUUCAGGGUCGGACUUAUUUUUUUAGUGACUAAAAUUAAACUCGGAUGGUACGUGGGCUGGAUCGAGUGAAAAAAAUCCAGCUUUGACUCAGAUUGGGUCCGAUUCUUCAACCUGACCCAACCUACGGGUCUUCCAGUACAGAUCAGGUCGGUACCCGGUUGGGUCACGGUGAACCCGAUCCCUUGCAGCCAUAACUUUCUCUCCGUCCGAAGAAAGAAAAGAUGAAUUGUAGCAAAAAAAAAGCAAAGGGGAACGCCUCUUUUUCUCUCUCUCCCCCCUUCCUCGUCAUCCCGUCUUCUCCUCCCACCACCCAGUCCUCUCCCUCCCUUUCCCUCCCUCUGUACUCUUUCUCUCUUGCUGAGAUUCCAAUAAAUCGAGGGCUAAGGUUUGGGUUUGGGAGAUGGGGCAGCAGACGCUGAUCUACAGCUUCGUGGCCCGCGGGACGGUGAUCCUGGCGGAGUUCACGGAAUUCACCGGCAAUUUCACCAGCAUCGCCUCCCAAUGCCUCCAGAAACUCCCCUCCAGCAACAACAAGUUCACCUACAACUGCGACAGCCACACCUUCAACUACCUUGUUGAGGACGGAUUCAGUAAGUCCCCUCCCAUCGAUCUCCCUCCUUGCCUUCCUUUUCCUCGUUUUUUGUAAUGAUUUUGGACUCUGUGCCUUCUGUUCGCGGAUUUACAUUCUUAAAUGAUUCUGUUCUUUCUGGGCGUGACUUCUGGUUGGAUUGGAUAGGGGUCGAUUUCUUGGUUUCCUUUCCAAGGAUCGAGGCUUGGAUUUGGUAAAUUUAGUGGAUUGGGUUGUUGCGUGGGCUUCCGGGCAUUUUAGGGCCAGGCUUGAUGGGAAACUGGCGUGUUUUGACUGAUGUUGGAAUUAUCAAUUUGUGAUUAGAUCUAAUAUUAUAAAUUUGGGAUGGAAUAAAUGUUCAACGUUUCUUUCAUUUUUCCCAUCUUAAAAUUAAUAUGGUAGGAUUUAUGAUAUCUAGAGAACAGAUUGGACGAUUUUCUUCUUGGUUUCUCAGAAGUAUAUUUUGCUAUAUUUGUCAGGUUGGUGAGGAGAGUUCAUGAGUACUGAAGUAUGCUAUCUAGCUUCUUUCUUUGUUGGCUACCUGUUUUAUAUAGCACGUUACGAUGAGCUUGAUUUGGGACCUUUGUCCUGAGUCGCAGAUUUCUAUUGUAACUUAGAUGAGAGGCAAAGUCUUGCUUAUUUCAGUGGUAUGUUUGAAGUCUAUAAUACACGUUACCAAAGGAUAGUUUUGCUGGUAACGAAGUGCUUCUAAUCGGACUAUAAUUAGCUACACGACUAGUGACAAAUGAGUCGUGUAAUGCUGACCAGCCACAUACAUACUGUAUAUAGACAUGUGUCUCAGCAGUAAUGCAUCAUCUAAACAAUGGAUGUUUGGAUUGAAAGAAACAAAUUUCGAAAUAAAAAUCAGAACACAAUGAAAAUGGAAAUGGAAACUGAAUAAUCAGAAUUGGCAUUUAUUACCAUUCUUUAGGCAUCUAAUGAAGGAUUGCAGAGGAAAAGAACAUAAAUUCCAUUCUAUUGUUUGAUCUAGUUAGUUUUAUUCUAGAACUGGAUCAGAUUUAUAUUACUUCUAUGUAUGUAACAUUGACUAAGGAAUAGAAACAUAGGUUUAUGAUAUUUUUAAAUUUGAUUCUUAAUCAAAAUUGUUCAUUCCUGUGUACCAUAAUUGCUGCUUAUUAGUUCAUAUGCAAAUAUGAUUCAAUUCUAUUUGGUUUCUCAAAUCGGGGAUGGAAUGAAAUGGGGAUUCCUACUUUUGCCUUAUUCGCAUGUUUGCUUUAUCCAAGAUGGAACAUAAUCUCGUUUUGCCUGAAGUCACCAUUCCCUUAAAUGAUGAAAUUGUCAUUGCACCUUUAGAUGGGAGGAAUGGUCAUUCCAAAUCUUUAUAUGGAUGAAUGACUAUUUGGUAUGAUGAAUUACUUUGUAGUCUUUAAGGGAUGGUAUAAAUUAAUAUAAUUGUUUGAUUUGAGUGUUUGUCUCUUUAGUAAUUAGUUCGGAUGUUGGUUAGGAAUGGAGUGUUAAACACUUUUUAGAUACACUUUAUUCCGUGGUUAAAUGAUCUAUAUAUCUUCAAAUAACAACCCUGUUCAGAUUCAUUACUCUCCAUAGGAAAAAUGCUAUGUGCAAGGUUUUAAAUAUCAGUGGUAUGGUGGGGUGUUUCACUGUCUCGAGAGUUGGGACACCACAAGUUGGAUAAUGGACCGACACAAUAUAGGACAUCCCCCAUCCCAAGUAUCAAGAUUUGGGGCAUCCCUUUUCACAAAAUAAUAGGGGCAACUCCAUCCCAUGGUAUUUGAAACAUUGGCUAUGGAGCUAUAAUAUGCGCACGUAAAAGGUUCUCGGGCCACCUAGUGCUAGCUUGGCAACAUAAUGUUCAACUAUUCCCUUUGGAUAGCACUAAUUCCCAUUAUUCACACAAAAACCCUCACACCACAUGGCAAGUGAAAGCAUUACAUUUUUCCCAUUAUAAUAGAAAAAUCACUGCUAUUUGCCUAGUCCAUCCUGGAUAGGUUUAUUUAGGAAAUAAUAUAUUAGUUGUUAUAACAUGAUGAUGACGAAUACUGGCCGCUAUAUAAAAUCUUGCUAUGCAUUUGUAUUAUGUAAUGGAGACAUCUGAAUAUGUUAGAAUUGUUAUAAUUUUCUAAAUCUAUUGUUUUAAACCUCUAUUCUUUAUUCAAGGGCAUUUUUAAAAAAAAUAGUAGAAAGUUAAUUUUAUUUUAGAAGUUAGCUAAAUGAAACAUCAUAAUGGAAUACCAUUUCCUUUCAUUUCAUGUAUUAAUUUUGCAAACUGUGGAAUGAGAACACCAAUUCGGGUUUCCUAUUUCUUAUUCCAUUUCCAUUUCAAUUUCCGUUUCAUUUCUUUUUUUGUUCCUCUAAACAAAACAUGAUGCAAGUCGAAUUAAUUCAUCACAAAAAAAAAAAACAGUCUAUCCUGUCAGAAUGAGAAAGGUCAUUCUUUCCAUCUAAGAGUGUAAUCAUAAUUCCUCUAUUUGCUGGAAUGGUGAUUCCAAGAAAAACUUGAUAGGGGUGAAAGUGGUUUGGAUAAUAUCCAUCCGAAUCUAUUUUCGUAUCCAAAUCUACCCGGAUAUGGAUAGAAAUUCGAGUAACUGACUAAUAUCUGUAUUUGUAUUUGUAUCUAUUAAAAAAAAUGGAUAUGGGUAUAGAUAGACAACUACAAAGAUUCGUAUCCGAAUAUUCAGUUCUAUUUGUAACCCUAUUUAAUUUUAUAUAGCACCCAUGAACUUUUUAGAAAAAUAAAUGACCAUAUUAAUAUGCUAUUAACUUGAUUUAUCAUCCACUUAGUAAUGUCUUUGAUUCUAUGGUCACAAAGUUUAAUUAUUUGAAUUAUAUCUGUAUUUAUAUACAUGCUUCCGAUAUAUGAUCUAUAUCUGUAUCCGUUUAAACAAAUAUGAAUAUGAAUUUUUGCAUCUGAUUAAUAUCCGUAUCUGUAUCUAUAUUUGUCAAACCAAAUAAAUAUGGAUAUGGAUAUACUAGUAUCCGAUCCGAUCCGAUUUCAGCCCUAAAAUUUGAUUAUGUUACUUGUUAUGCAAACAAAGAUGGGAAUGGGGCCAAACCUGAAUUCCCAUUACAUUUUAAUCUUCAUUCUGCGAACCAAAUGUGGAGUCUUAUUCUAAAAUUUAAUGAUGGCCUUGUGAAAUUUGAUUUCUAAUGGAUCAUUUGUAUGGGCAAAUGUGAAGCUGGAAGGUUUAUCAAAUCAAAGCAAGUUGAUAUUCUUGAUGAAAUAAAAUAUCAACCUGUAGAAGCAAUUUCAUGUUUUAUCUGUAUGUUUGUUUUCUACAUGUAUUUAUUGUGCUUGUAGUGCAUUGCGUAUGUUGGCUAUAGUAAUUGUCAUGUUCAUUAACUUGCAAUCAGUCCCAUCCUUGGCAUUGAUUAAAGUUUGAAUAUACAUUUGCUGGUGAUACAUGUUAGUUAUUUGAAUGUGUUGCCUAAUCUUUCUUUUUACAAAAGGAAUUUUGUCUAUCAUAUGAUCCAUGCAUAUUCUGAAGAUAUUCUUUAGCAUUCAUUCUUCAUGUUCUGUUCAAACAUGACAAGCUGGCUCUUCAAUCAUGGAAGCAUGCGGCCUAGCUUUAUUGUUGUUAUGCCUUUUUCACUUCACAUACUGUCUGCUAUUUCCAUUGUAUUUUCUUGCUAUUUAAACCACAUAAAUCAUAGAGCAUAUGAGGUUUUGGAAGUGGUGCUAUCUGGUUGAUAAGUUGACAUUAGUAGGCUAGCCUUAUUGAGUUAAUGUGCAUACAUUUACAUGCCUUGUUGUAUAGAAAUGGUAACCUUUGUGGAUUAAAUAAUUAUAGCACGUAUAGUGCUUGGUAUGUAUGUACAUGUAAAAGUAUAUAAACAUGUAUACAUAUAUAUGCAUAUAUAUACACACACACACACUUGCACAUAUAUAUAUAUACACACAUAUAUAUACAUAAUAUAUAUAUACACACACACAUAUAUAUACAUUAUAUAUAUAUAUACACACAUGUAUAUUCAUAGAGACCACCAGGACAUAUUGAAUCUUGGUUCCUAGUCUGGUUUUAUAGUGUAGAUCAUGUUCAAUGAUUUGGCUCUUGAAUUUGGAUGACUUAUAAUUGAUUUCGAAGUUGGGUGGACUGAUUUCCGAUCCACCUCAGCACACAAUAACAUCUCCCUCUCAUAUAUGUAUGUGUGCAUAUAUAUAUAUAAGUGGAUAAAAAUUUCCAUGCAUUACUAUCGUGAUCAGUUGAUGCAUUAUUGUAGAUAAUGCUUUGUUAUGAUACUUAGGCAAAUCAUCCAAGACAAGGUUCUCUAUACCGGUGCGUAUUGCACUAUAUCGGUACCAAACGGAGACUCGGUAGGCCAAACUGACCCCCAUAUCCAGCCUACCGCAAGCAUACUGAAAUUGUACUAGCAUGGUAUCAAUACGAGAUCCAGUAUAGAGACGGCGAACGUUGACCUAACAUGUUGAUUCAUCUUUGUGACUUCAGCAUUUUAAAUGGAGGGUGCUGAAGAUAUGCAUUUUACAAAUUUAAACAUGAUGCUUCUAAAUAACCAGUUCAUAAACUAUUGUAUGUUGUAACAUGAAAUUAUGAACUCUAUAAUUUCCUGGGGAUUUUUAUGGCUGUUGGAUGACCUUAUGGCUGCUCAUGAAAUAGUUGUGACCUAGGUUUUAGAAGUGAAAAACUAGUUACUUGUGUAUGAUAGAUAAAACAAGGCCCGUGCAUGAUGUAGAUAGUGCAUAUGUUUUAGUAGCCUUAACUUUUUUUGGGCGCGGUAUUGAAUUUCUUCUUGAAAUUUUCGGAAUGAUCACAUCAGAAAUGAUCUAACAGCAAGAGUUACUCUUCACUACAUAUAAUGGCUAGCCAAGAAAUUAUCUGUUUUCUUCAUUUUUUGGAAUGCAGAACUAGGCAUGUUGUAGGUUCGAUAAGUUAGCAUGUAUGCAUGAUUUAGAUUGUACUUGUGUUUGAAUAGCCUUAAUUCUUUGUUGGAGUCUAGUCAUUGAAUUUCUUCUUCUUUAUUUUUCAAAAGUAUUACAUCACGAAUUAUCUAAUACUUUAAGUGAUUUUUCAUUGUAUAUAAUGGCUAACCAGGAAAUUAGCUAUCUAUUUUGUAACUUCUUGGGUAUUAAGUACCUUCUUCUAGUUGGUGACUUGUGAACAAAUUUGAAAUAUUGAGAUGAAAAACUACUAUAGUUUGGUCUAAGGUUCGCCGUCUCGGUACCGGACCCCAUACAAGUACCAUCUUAUUACAGUAUCGGUAUGAGGUAUAGUAUGAGAUAGCGAGGUGUAUCGAGUGUAGGUAUGAUAUAAGACCGGUACGGUACCGACCGGUAUGGGCAAAUAUUGGUUUGGUCUUUAUAUCAAUGAUUCAAUAGAGCAUCCCUAUUUUUUGAUGGAAUGGAAUACACUUCUGCCCUACCUUGUUUCGACACUUAGGACAAGAGAUGUCCUGGAAUCUACUUGCGUGGGAUGCUAGGAAGGCCUUGUCCCAACACUUGGGAUGGUGUCCCAUCUUGACAUCCUGCAGGACAUCCCAUUAGGAUUUGAAUCACUACUUUAUAUCUUUAUUAUUUAAGUUGCAAAUUUUUUUCUACUAAAUUAUGACCUAGUCUUAAUUUUUUGUCAAUUCGCUGUCACUUUAUUACUCAUUAGUCCGCUUUUUGGCUUUGUCAUGUGAAACCACAAUUUUUUCUUCUUUUCUUGAUCUUUAGCUAACAAGGACUUAUAUCAUCAUCUUUGCAACGCUCAUUUUUGUGCUUCUCUUUUUUGCUCAAUAUUUUGAUACAUGAAAAGAUGGACCAUUUUGUUGCCUAUAAGAUUCAUCUUCGUCUUCUGGCAUCAGUUUUAAUGUUGGUUUCCUGUUAUAUGUAUUAAAGUACAUUUACGUAAUCUAAUCUAGCUCUCUAGACUUUUAGCUUUGUUUGCCAAAUGUUUUCACCAUGUAUAAAAUUUAUGGGAUGACACUGCUGCCAUCUUAGUGGUUAACAUCAUUUACAAGUCACAUAAGUCAUAGCACCAUCUUAAAGUAAAUGGUGAACUUGCAUUGAAUUAAAAAAAAAAGAAAAAGAAAAUAGAUAUGGUCCUAGGGUCACUCAUGAUGUAUGGCACUCUUAUUGAAAAUUCACUUGUUUGACGUGUCUCCAUUAGUUUAAUUGUGAUACUUCCUAUAACUCCUUCAUGAGUGAAUUUUCAAAUUCCUACAUUGUAUGCUUUGUUUUCAUAGUGCUUGCUAAAUUACCUUUUCUGAACACUUUAACUAUUAGAACGUGUAUUGAUGAUAUAAUGUCCAUAUAUAUCUAUAUACAUGUGUCUAUAUAUCCUUUUAUUUAAUUUUCCUGCUUAAAGUAUACUGGCAUUGUUGAUGUUCCAAGUAUUAAAUUGAACAGGUUCUGAAAUUUUAUCAACCUUUCUAAUAUUUUGUAUUAUCACACUCCCAUAUGUCAUGGUUAGGUCCUAGUGUGAUAAUAAGUCAAAUUGCAUGGAUAGUACACAUCAAAGGAUGUAUCGUAAUAAAUUAGCUCCUGUAUUGUUUUUCCUUAGUUUAGUUGGAAUUCGUUAUUUUAUCCAACUUGUGCUUCUUGCCUUAUACAUCAUUCAAGGUGAUGACAAUGCAUCUUUAGAGUGCUUCCUCUAUACAUCGUUGUUAUAAGAUGCAGGAAAUUAUAAUUUUUAUUUUUCGAAAAAUCUUUUAUGUAUUUUGUAAAAAAUAUUAGUCGCUUAGUUGUGUUACUUAAAGAAUCAUUGGACAGCAACAGGGCAUAUGGAACCUAAGCAAGAGAGGGUCUUAGAGUGCUGAUUGCAAGCUGGGUCAGUCUAAUAGUUUACAAAUCUUGCUUCAAAGUUCAAAUAGAGUUGGUUGGCUUUAGAAAUACUUGUAAUAAGAUCUUUAAACUAUCAGUUUUCUAGGAAAUUGUCUGUAGCUAGACGUGCUCAUGGUGUGUAGGGCAAAGAAACCUGCACAUGCGGAUGGUAGGACAUAUAGCAUAGAUUUUUAUUCAACCAUUCCAACCGGUCUCUCCAUGGCCUCAUCUUUGUACUUCCCCUUUAGCCUUUCCCUCCUCCUAAUAUCAUUUCCUCUAGCAUAGUCAAUCUUCUUCAUCUCGGCCACCAUGUUUUUCACCAUCAUGCCACUACCUCAUCCACACUAAUGUUCCCAUCUGGUUGUGGCACCACCCUUGAUGCCGUUGCCAUGUAGUCUGGUAGUACAAAUAAACUCGCGAGAAGCCUGCUUGUCUUGCCUUAGUCAUGGAUGGUGAUAUUGGCAAAGGUGAGGUGAAGAGCCAGUUGUGGAGGGGGACAAGAAGUGGCCUAAUUCAGGCAGUGAUGGUGGCGUGGACGGCGGACUUGAGGGGUUGAGGCAGCGCCUAUGAGAGCAGUCACAGUCAUUCUCUCUCCACAAAGAAGGGUGGUGCAAGAGACUUUGCAAUAGCAUGGCUAGUGCUGGGGCUAAUUGCUUUUGUAAUGUAGUAUCAGAUUAUGCCACUCAUAUAAUGGGUAGGUUAAAACAGAACCAGAGAUAGAGAUGAGAAGUGGGGAACUGGCCAUGGAUCCCAAGCAUUUUUACCAUGCAUGGAAUCGAGGUUUUAGCACGAGUAGAUAGAUGAGGAGUGGAGGACAUUGGCCAUAGAUCCCAACUGUCACCCCUAAAGCAUGCCUCCCACCACCACAGUCACUGCUAUCCUGUGGUCAGCAACCGUCACCACAGAUUCUGAAAGGUCGAGCCGUUAUGAAGUUGAUGAUGGAUGAGAAUGAUUUAUCCUUAAACUGUUUAACCAGUUGCUGUAAAUUGGCUUGGGUGGUUAAAUGAUUUAGAGCAAAUCUUUAGGACUAUGCUUGGUUUUUGAGCAUGUAGGCCUCUCUAACUUGCACGGGUAAGUCUAGCAGGCCUCUUGUAGAUAGGAAGUAGUAUCUCUACAAAUCAUGCCUUGUGUACAAAUAGUGUUGUGAUGUCCUACCGUUGGUAAUAAGUUAUGUAUAAGGAGUUAAAUCCAUCAAGAUAGUAGUAUUGAUUCAUUUAUGUGUUUUUUAUAUGGGGAUCUCUGAAGCUUUGAUGUAUGUAAUUUAAGAAAGAAGGUUGAAGUUAGUAUCACCUUUUCCACUUUUUUUCUUUUUCUCUUUUUCUUGUUCUUCUCCCAACUUCCAAUUUCCUCUUUCUUUGUUUUCCAAUUUUCACCUAUAUCUGCCAUCUUUUCCUUCAUCUUUCCUUUUUUUUCUAUUUGCUUUAUAAAAUUCAAGGAUAUGAAAGACAAAAUAGCCCCGAGAUCAUGCAAGGUUAACCCUGUUAAAAGUUGAUCAAUGGAACCAUAUCUUUUAACACAAAUCUUAAUGGUUAAGAUUGAAGUCAUUUAAUUGAGUCAUAUUCUUGCUUUUAUGGACCUUGCAUUCAAUAACAUCUAUGUAAGCUAUAUGUAUUUAGAUAAUGCCACUAUUUUUUACGACAGUCACAAAAUUCUUACGUAUAAUGCUCCUAGUGUCAUCCAUAUCUCAAACCUUCCAUAAUUGAUUUAGUAUCUUCUUAUCAUCAUUUUUUCUGAGUCUAACUUGUCUAAAUAAUUAUCAUAAUUUCAUGGUUAGACUCAGUAAAGUUUUUCCCUGUAUUGCUUUUUCUUUAUUUAAUUUUUGAUGCUUUCAAGUCUUGAAAAUCAUUGGUUACUGUGCCAUUUGAUGGGACAAACCAAACACUUAUUCUAUCUACAUAACAAAAAAUUAUGAUCACAGACAUUAACGCUUCGUCCCAAACCUGUCUUGCUUAUACAAGUCAUGAUUCUAUCUUCAAUCUACUGAUAUUUCUAUAAUUUCUGUUUAAUCUACUGGAAGCAUGCAAUAUGUACGCUAGAUUGCUAAUUGAAAUUGCAAUUCAAAUGACAAAUUGCUGGACUAAUGCAACCUUACUUAUUAAUGCUCCUUUUACUUAUUAAUGCUCCUUUUUAUGCUUGAACCCUAGAUCUUUAUUUAAAAAAAUGGUUGCAAGAAUUAUAGGGAGCAUAUUAGUUAACCUGCAUCCUUUUGUCCUGCAAUUGAUUGAUAAUGUGAAGUGCUGUCCUAAAUGGAUGCACUACAUAGCCUUUACUCAUUUGUUAUCAUGGUCUGGCAAAAUGUGGAGCCGCAAUUUACAGGAAACACACUUGGAUUAUCGAAAAUCUGUUCAGGAUAGAUACCAUCUUAUUUACUGAUUGGCUGCCAUCAAGUGUCUAUCCUUUAGCUUUUCAUCCAUUUAUUGGAGCAACAUUGGCACCGAAUAACUUCUAGAAGUGAAAAAUUGCAUAUUUACAUGACUGGUAUGAUAUCUUAUUCUUCUAAUAAUUAAACAAAUUUUCCUUUUUUUUUUCCAAAAGUCAGAUUUACUAAACUACACAGGAGUUGCCCAUUUUUGCUGAAGUAUGACAUAAUCUGUAUUAUUGGACAAGUCUUUCUUGAUUACGUUUUUUCCCCUUCUUUUGGUUAUUUCUUUUAACGUUGUUAGUGGGUCUUGAAUCCCCUGUUGUCGCAUGCCUUCUAGUUUCAACCACUCUCUUGUACAUGAAUAAUUCAUCAGAAUAUUCUGGAGCUUCAGGAAUUCUAUAUGAUUUUUUAACUGUUACAUAUUGUUUUAAGUUGGACUGCUGAUUAUAGUUUUUUGUAGUCGUGUCACAGUUGUAGUAAUAUAAUUAGCUUCUUGUUAGCCUAUUUGCCAGAAUCAUUCUCUAACUUGAUGAUUUUUGAUGGUUUGAGGAAGAAAAAUACAUAAUUAUGUGCUAGAAAGAUAGAUGUGGCUUUAUUACUGUGGUAGACUCUAUUUCGCGAUGGUCUAAUUCGCUAUUUGUCAAGGAGACACUGUUCAAGAUUCUAUAACCUCCUUGCAUUUAUGGAAAUUCUAAAAGCUUAGAGAAUGAUUUGCUUACUUAACAUCAAGAAAACCUGAACAUUCGUAUGGAAAGGACUAGUCAUUCUAUAAGAGAUCUUGCCUUAAAAAAGUCAACCUUAUUUAAAGUGAUACUGUUCACAGGUAUCUAAUACGGCAUAACCCAUAUGAUUUGUAAAACAUUUUGAUGUGGAGUACAAUAUGCUGUGUUCAGUUUUGUUGUGUUUGUAGCCUUCUUGGAGAUGGCUUGAAGGCUUGAUAGAAGAUUGUACUUUUGAUCCUUGUGGGUCGAAUAAAUACCAUCUUAGAGCUUUUCUCAAUUAAUUUUUUAUAAUUGUUAAUUAUUAGCUUAGCUUUCAUCGUGUGGUUAGCAUCCAAACUGAUGCUAAUAGCAGUCAUGGUUUGGGAUGAUGUUGGAUUGUUUACUUCGUAUCUUUCAACAUUUUAUGCAUAAUAUCCUAUGUUAUGUUAAGAUGUUGUCUAAAAUAAUUUUCAAAAGGUUUUGAGGCUGAUUUUGUAUAUAUUAUUUGGUUAUCUUAGUGGUUAUUGUGUUACAGGCAAUCAAUUGUUCGAACUUUUUGUGGUGGUAUUGUAUGUGGAGUAGGCUAUCAUACCUUAAAAGUUAAGGGUUCUCUCUCUAUGCGAGUGGAGAAAACUCCAAGUAGAUUUUGUGGUUGACUUCAUGAUUAUUUUUAAUAAAAGAUGGGUUUCUUAAUCUCUUUAUCUCCUUUUUUUCCUUUUACAUAUUUUUUGUUUUCUUUAAUGUUCCAUCAUCUUUAUAUACUCUCUUGAUUAGCUUGCAUCAUUUUGGUAUCAUGCCAUUAAUCUAAGACAUCAUCCUACAAAGUAUGUUUUAAGAUCAUAGUAAAUACCCGCAGUGCAAGAGUUGCUAGAAUCUUGUAUAGAUUUGCACUGCAUAAAUUGCAAGGAUUGUGGAUCGAUUAUUGUUGGACUUUGUUUAGGCAGAUGACAUUUGGGUUGAGGAGGGAAGAAUAGACCCCAAGGAUGCUAGAAAUAGGGUAGGACAUUGUUGAGAAACAUGGAGGUUUGCCUUUAGGGCCCCAUUCCUUGGUGGGUAAAUAUCAUGGGGUCAACUUUCCUAUAGACUAACUUAUCCAUGUUCUUAUGCUUCUCUAGAUGGGUAAGUUAUUUUUAUAGGUAUCAUUUAUGCAUGAAAUGGGGAAACGUCUUACCCACCUAGAAGGCAAGUCAUAUUCCCAUCAGCCCAGAAAAUAUUUUUUUUAUUUUGUUUCUAAAAUACCCCUAAUCCUAUUAUAAUAAUAUAAUAAUAUAAUAAUAUAAUAAUACUAAUAUAAUAUAUUGUAUUAUAGAGUAAUAUAAUGUCACUCAUAUAUAUUAUAUUAUGUUAUAUUAUAUUAUAAUAAUAACAUAUUAUUAUAUAUAAUAAUAUUUAUAUAAUAAAGGGUAUUAUGAAAAAUAUGGAUAGAUUUACCCAAGAAAAUAAUAAUGCAAAAGAACAUGGACAAAUUAUUUUUGUGUCUAAAUGUUUGCCUGGGAAAUACUUACCCAAGAAAAUACAUAUUCCCGGAUCAGUUUUUUACCCUCCAAAGAACGGGCCUCGAGCUGCGAUGGCUCUUGUACAUGCCUAGUAGGAUCCAGGAUAGGGGAGGUGGAGUUGUAAGCUAUCAAAAAAUAGUGAAAAAAAUGGAAUUACUUAUCAAGGAGACUGGAGUAUUACCUGCCCUAAGGUUGCACUAUGAUGACUUGCAAUAUCAUUUGAAGCAGUGUUUUGCCUACUGUUCAUUAUUCCCAAAAGACUAUAGAAUUGAUAGAAAGAGGUUGGUACAACUGUGGAUUGGAUUAGGAUUCAUUCAACCAUCAAAUAAUGAUAUAGAUGCAGAGGAUAUUGGUAACUAGUAUUUCAAUAGUUUUCUAUGAAGGUCCUUUUUUCAGAAUGUAGAAAGGAUGAAGAUGACAUUUUUUGUUAGAUCAAAUGAAAGCAAGAAAAACCUGAUAUAUGAGGUAAAUCAUUUUUCUCAAAUCUUUAUGGUAAUGCUUGUAGAAGUUUGAUUUUCAGAAGUUAGGGCAGGUCAUGGUAUAGUGAACUGGGCCUUGCAAGCAGUUACUUUUGCUCAUUCCUUAUUCAUCCAUUAGUCACUUAACCAGGGUAACUGAGGCACUUGUCUUAAAUGUUUAGAUAAUGUUUUUGGAACGACAUGUACUGUUAAAAGUAUUAACUUUUGGAGGAUGCAGCAGAUGUAUCUGUUCUUCCAACAUGCUGUUAUUAGAGUGGAGUGUUUGAAGAAGAGUAAUAUUUACAUUCUUGUUGUUGGAAUGCCCCCUCUUCUGGGGGAUGGAUUUUGCUCUUUCCAAGUUGGAAUUGCAUCUACCUUUCUGUCCCAUCACUUCAUUGAUUUCUUAAAGUCCUAAAAUUAUUAUAGUUCUCAAUCAGCUUUCCAAUAUUUUGUUACUGCUUGAUAUUUUUAAUAGGUUUGCGCAACCCGUACUUCAAGCCUUACGUUCAGAACUGUAAAACAAUUAGGAUUUAGCUUAUGCUGUUUGGACCCAAUUACUGAUCUAACCAUGACUGAGACUACUUGUACUGCAAACAUUAAUUAUAUAAAUUCUGUAAUUUAUUAUCUUUUUUUUGUUAACAAGGAAUUUGUAUUACUCUAGAGAACUCUAAUUUAUUAUCUUUUUCUUGGUUAACCAGGAAUUUGCAUUACCCUAGACUAGAUUCAUCUUAUAGAAUCAGUCCAUGCAUGUUUCCUAACCAGGAAUUUAUUUUGUCUUUUCUUUUCUAUGAGUAGCUAAGUUUCCCUGUCCUUGGAUUUUGUAGCAUACUGCGUGGUUGCAGUUGAGUCAGCUGGCAGGCAAAUUCCCAUUGCCUUUUUGGAGAGGGUUAAGGAAGACUUUAAGAAAAGAUAUGGUGGGGGAAAAGCGGCAACUGCUUCAGCCAACAGUCUCAACCGUGAAUUUGGGUACAUUCCCUAGCCGUUCAAAACAUCAUAGAUUUCUGUCUUCUUGUAUAUCACCAAGUGCUGAAAUGCUGACAUUUCAGGUCUAAAUUAAAAGAGCACAUGCAGUAUUGUGUGGACCAUCCUGAGGAGAUCAGCAAUCUGGCAAAAGUGAAAGCUCAGGUUUCAGAAGUCAAGGGAGUUAUGAUGGAAAACAUUGAGAAGGUGAGUUCUUUUAACACUUCUGCCGAAAGCUUCAAUGAGUUUGCCAUAUUUAUCUUGCAUCUGUGCUUGUUGAAUAGCUCUUGUUGUUGGGAUACAUCUGAUCCGAAUCUUGUGAUUCAAUGGUUCUUAACGUUUGGUGGCAACCAUCUCACAUUCUCUGCAGGUUCUAGAACGUGGCGAAAAAAUUGAACUCCUUGUUGACAAGACAGAGAAUCUUCGCUCACAGGUUUGUGGAUGUGGUUUGGUUCUGCAUUUGUUUUAGUGGGUUCCUGGUUAUGGAGCUGAUUAUAUGCUUCAAUUGUGGGUACAGGCUCAAGAUUUCAGGCAACAGGGGACAAAGAUAAGGAGGAAGAUGUGGUUUCAGAAUAUGAAGAUAAAACUUAUUGUGUUGGGCAUUAUCAUUGCGCUAAUCCUCAUCAUAAUCUUGUCAGUUUGCCAUGGCUUCAAAUGCACAUGAGACUGUACACCUCCCUUCCCCUUCUGAGUAUAGUUGUAUCUCUUUCUACCAUUACGACAUGAAUACUGGUGCUUUUGUGAUGACUAGUGCUGUAUCCUCCCCUGUUGAACUCUUUCAUAGUUUGUUGGGAAUUUGUAUGGCAAUGCUGAUGUAUAGACUAUUAGAACAGAUUAUUUCUUGCGACAAAAGUACAGUGUUCUAUUGGUGGAUUGGUGACGAUGUGGGAUUCUACAUUACUAGUCUCUGCUUUCUAAGAUUUUGAUGUGAUGAUUCCCACAGCAGUGCUGGUAUCCGGCAUGCAGGAUCUCCUUCUCAUGUAUGACAGAUUUUCCGGUGAGUUUUAAUAGUUGUCCUAGGUGUAUGAGUUCUGUACAGCUGCCAUUCAUCUGUCUGCAUGUUGCUUGCAGUAUGCUUGAUCUGUGCAGUGGAGCUUGCCUGUGCUCGCAUUGCUACGCAUGGUCCUGCUCCUGCGUUAGACCUGCUCGUUGGGCGGGUCGGGCUCAAUCCUAGGUAUGGAACAAGAUUAGCCAGGUAUGCCUGGCCCGGCCUUUAGGCCUAAUUCCUAGGGCUGAGCUCUGCAGCUUCGGCCGAUAGCUUCAUGCCGAGCCCACUUCAAGCCCACAUCAAUGACCAUGGUGGAGGGCAAAGAAAUACCUGUUGAAGGUGGAGGUUGAAGGCCACACACGGAUGGUGGCGGAGAGGGUGUGGGGUGGUGGUGGAAGGUUGAGUAAUACGAUGGUGAGGUUGGAAGGGUGGGGGGUGGUGGUGGAGAAGCUUUGGACCUACUUGGAGUAGAUGUCUAACCUGGAGGUGUUGAUGGUGAUGUGGUGCUUGCUGUCUUCCUUGAUCUCCACCUCGAUCUUGAGCGCAUCGUGGUGCCCGAGCAACAUGAUUUCAUAAUCAACGAUGAUGGAGGUAAUAAACCCAAUGAAAUGAGAGGACGAUGACCGACCAUGAGACUACUAGAGGACUCACACCCUUGAGGAAGGGUGGAGGGGACGAGGAGAGAAGGGCACCUUCUUUGUGGAUCAUAGUUGGCUCAAUUCAAGAGGGUAAGGAGGUGAUGCCCUUGUCGCCGCCUCCUUUCCUUUCGGCCGGGCCGUGCACUAAUAAUCUAGGUCUAUGCCACUACAAUACACACAUAUAUUGAAAAAAGAUCUCAGGAUGGGUCGAUGUAAACUCAAGCUCGGCUUAUAUAAAGGACAGGCUCAAAAAUUAGCUCCGGUCCCCUCUGAAACGGUCCGGGCUUAGGCAGGCUAGGUGGGCCAUUUGGUAUUUGAGCAGGUCUAUCCUAAAUUUGGCACAAUUUGCAGUUGCCACUAAAUGGACGAAGGUGGCACCUGAAAUAUGUGGCCAUGAGGAUCUUGACCACUGUGAAAUCGUGCUCAUCUAAGAUUGAGAAGUACGUUUCUAUUUUCAAAAACUUAGUCCCAUGUUUUCCAUUAGCAUGUGUAUGAGGAGCAUGUGUAUAUAAUUCGUCUUUCACUAGAAGGUUAGUCCUACAUGGGGUUUUUAUGUACCAAAGAACUUAAUUUCCCUUCUUCAGCACCUUUUUCUCCGUACUCACAACUUACAUUGUAAAUGUUUCCACUUUGCAUGAAUUCUUGAAGUCCUAUUUGGCAUUAUUUUCAUUUUAUUUUUUAUUUUAAAAAUAGAAAUACAAAAACCAAGAUUAGCAAAUAUAUAUGAUGUCAUUGUUUCUAUUUUUAUUUUUUGAGAAUUCAUUUUUAUCAUUUCUAUGAUGCCAUUAAGUGUCGUUUUAAGUAGCAAGCAGCAAGCAGCAAUGUUGUUUGACCGUUCAACCAAACACCCCUCAGUUAUCCACUCUUCUCCUCCAUCUUAAAAUCCCCCCUCCCUACCUCCCUCCACUGUCUCUUCUUGCUAUGAUUCCAAUAAAUCUAGCAUUAGGGUUAGGGUAUGGUAGAUGGGCAAAACAGACUCUAAUCUAUAGCUUCAUGGUUAGCAAUAACAAGUUCACCUACAACUGUGAUAGCCACACCUUCAACUUUCUCGAGGAGGACAGAUUCAAUGAGUCUCCCUCCCAUCAGUAUCCCUUCUCGCCUUUCUUUUCCUUGUUUCUUAGUGUGAUUUUGGGCAUCGUGCCUCCUAUUCAUGGAUGUAUACUUUUAAAUGCUUCUUGUUUGCUCUCGUUCUCAUGGAGACCUUUUGGCUGGAUGGGAUAUAAUUCGGUUUCUUGGUUUCCUUUUCCAUGUUCUUCUUAGGAAUUACUGUGCAAUCCCAAGCUAUUAUAGUGUAUCCUAGAUGGUUACAGUCAGAUCUCAUAUGGUUACAGUAGAAUCUCUAAUGGUUACAGCAUAACCCUAGGCUAUUAGAAUGCGAUCUUCAGGGACUCCAUAUCCCUCAGCUAUAAAUAGACCCCAAGACCCUUUAUGAAAGGUAAUCAAUUAAUCCUCAGCUAAAUGAAACUCUUUCUCUCUAUUUCCUCCUUUAUUCCCACUCAAACAUCCUUUCUAACUUAAGCAUUGAGGGCCUGACCGGACCAAAGCUCCAUUAAGUUCUCUGACCUUGUUUGUUGUCUUGCAAAUCGAUGGAAGCAGUCCAUGUCAGCAAUCUGGAGGUCGGCAGCAAUAGAUUAACACCAUCUAUGAGAAGGUAAACGAAAAGCCAUGCCACCCAGAAGGAGGAACUAAUCUAAGAUGUCUCUUAUCAGAUCUCAGGGUUCUCUGAUAGAGGACACCCUAAGAGAAUCCUAUCUUUCUUGGUUGCAAUUGUCGAUUCCACUGCCACUAAUUGAGUGCUAACCGGAGAAACACCCUUUAACCUCACUUUCGAAGUAGAAAUCACGGGAUUACUAGACAUAGGAAUGCCAACUCACAAGAUGGAACAUUACGACAAGAAAUAAAAUUAGGAAGACUUGAAAGCUUAGCAGGACCUUAUCGAAAAAGUUCAAGAAUGAGAUUGGAUCUACAUGGCCGCGUAUCAGUAGAGAGUGGCCCAAUAUUACAAUUCCAAGGUAAAGGAGCAAAUCUUCUAAUCUAGAGAUCUUGUGCUGAGAAGGAUACAACCCAUAGGAAAAGGAUUAAGAAAGCUCAACUCGAAUGGGUAUGGACCUUACAAAGUUGUCGAGGAAGUACAUCCCGGAACAUAGUGGCACGAAGCAUCUCAUUGGAACACCACUACCUCGAACCUAGAACUUUGAAAAGCUAGGAAUUUACUAUCAUUGAAAACUUAUUCUUUAUUUGAGAAGUAAAUUCUCCAAUGCAUCAUGUUAAUGAAAGAACAAUUCUUUCUCAUUUCUUGCAGUUCAAAAAUUUUCCGAAGUGGAGAAGGUCGAGCAAAUUUUGCUGCUUUAAGGAGCGUUGGAAUAAGGAACACCAAACUCCCAUAACGACCAACCGAUAAGGCAACAUGACUAUCCCAAAAAACAUAGCUCUGGUUGGGCCAACUUUGCCGCCUGAGGGUUUGGGGUCUGAGAAGAUCCAUCUCUAUCAUAGCCAUCAACUAGAGAGGUAACCCAGUUACCUAAGAUCAAAAAUUAUAGUCAGGCUAACUUUUCCAUGCUCUGGGGUUUGGGGACCGAGGAGAUACAUCUUUAUCGCAACCUUUGACCAUAAUAGCAUUCUGGUUGGGCCAACUUUGCUGCCCUUAACGUUUGGGGUCUGAGAAGUUUCAUCUCCAUCAUCAACCACAAGCUAUACGUCUCGAGGCAAAAUACUAUGGUUGGGUCAACUUUUCCACCUAAGGAUUUAGGGCCCCAGAAGAUUUGUCUCUAUUAUCGGGCCAACUUUGCUACUCAACAAGGUUUGAGGUCUGAGGAGGUAUGCCACUAUUGUAGCCAUCGACUGUAGUGGCAUUCAGAGUGAGCCAACUUUUCUGCCCUCAGGAUUUGGGGUCUAAGGAGACAUGUUUCCAUCAUAGCCAUCAACCAUGAUGGCAGCAAGACUACCCAUUCCGGCCCUCCCUAGCUUGAUCACCCUGCGAGUAGAAUCAAAGCCCUACUGCUACGAUUUUAAUCUUGCUCUUUUAAAAAGGGAAAUUAAAUGUAGAAUACCCCAAGUAUAGGGUGUAGAAAAGUAAUAUACUCGGUGAGUCCGAGAUCGAAUCCACAGGAAUUUGACAGUGAACAAAAACUAAAGGCUAAAUAAUAUUCAGAUUGACAAAAAUAUAACUAAGGCAUUAGGAUUCAGCCUAGCACUUAAUCAUGCUUUUCUUAAAAUCAUCUAUUAAUCAUAAUUAAAUAGAUUUAGUUUUAUGGGCAGCAUUACAGUAAUUCUAUUUUAAACUACAGGGAUUUCUAAGCAUNNNNNNNNNNNNNNNNNNNNNNNNNNNNNNNNNNNNNNNNNNNNNNNNNNNNNNNNNNNNNNNNNNNNNNNNNNNNNNNNNNNNNNNNNNNNNNNNNNNNNCCCAUUGAUGAUUAAAUGAAAUACAUGAAGAAAAUGCUAGGCUUUUCCCUAGCCUUAGCUAGAGAAGAUUUAGCUACUCAUAUGAAAUGGAAACAUUUUUAUAAAAAGGAUUAGUAAAGAAUAACUUAAAAUAAACAUAAAUCCCUUUUCUUUUUUUCUUUGGUUCAGAAAACAGGGUGCUCUGUUUUCUUCUCCCGGCUACUUUCUCCCUUCCUCCGUGCCAACUCCCAGGGGAAUGUAGUCGGUUGGAGAAAAAAAAUGAAAGGCCUCCCCUCUUCCGUCUGCCUCCACCGUGGUCUCCUCUCCCUUGCUCCGUGUCCUCCUGUCUCCACCGGAUGUAAGAUCAAUCCUCAUACCUCUUCUUCACCUGGGUCCUUUUAUAGGCUACGGUUGCUUGGGACGGUUUUGAACGCUGAUGAGACGCAGCUUGGAGAUGAGAAGUUGCUGGGAAACCACGGGUGUUGGGAAGACUCCUCAGAUGGCUGGAAUUUAUUCGCUGGGAAGGGAGUGGAGGACUCGGCUAGAUGAAACGAUCGAAUGCCACGACGCUUGGGAUGCUCUUCAUGGCUGGGACGGUUCUCUGUUGCUUGGAAGCCAAAAGAGCUUGGGGAGUUGCUUCGCGGAUGAAAGAAAGAGCCGGUUUGGCUUUGGAUUUCCCUCGCUGCUGUUGGGAAUUUGAAGAUGAAACGAUUGGAUGCCACGAUCGCUUGGGAUGCCACGAAGGUGUCGAAGGAACUUUGGGAGAUCACAGAAGCUGGAACGCUCAAUCCGAUUGCAUGCUGCCACGAACGGUUGGAAAAUGCUGGGAAGAAAUGCUUGGAGAUGACGAACGCUGGGAAGCUCCUCACGGAUGAAUCCUGCUCUGUUCAUUGGAAAGUUGCUUCACGGAUGAAAGAACCGGUUUGGGAGUUUGGGAGACAGGAAGCCAUGCGGAAGCUGAGUGGUCACAAACCGAACGGAAGGGGAGCUUUGAAUGAGGCGGGUUGUAGACGUUUGAUGCCACAAUGCAGGCACUUAUGCUAGCUGAAGCACCUGGAUACAGUGAAAUGGAUUGCAUGCGGAUGACGGGCGGCGUGAGGCUCAGAUGAGACGCUAAGGAUUUGUUGAGCUCGGAACGCCAAGCAUUGGGCUCAAACCCAGCAUUAUUGGAUCUUUUGAAUUACUUGCACUCAAACACAAAUAAAACAUUGAUUAAUCAAUUUUAUUAAUAAAGAUUAGCUCUAAUAUUAAUUAUGAUAGUAUGAAAAUUUCACUUUUGUACUCUCAUCACCUACCUAAUGGCAUAAGACCGCCAUAGUGGCACAAAGACCACCAUGGUGGCAAUCAAGGUGCAAUAGCCAACUUCAAAGCACGAUCGAGCUUAAAGAUUCACCAAGUGUGAUGAUCUGAAAGAUUUCAUAGUACAAUCUCAUCUUAAGAGACCAACCUAAAUAGAGGUAUGCCUAAAUAUUCAAAGUAUUCUUGCUCGAUUGCCCAGACCUGUUAUAUUUAGCAGCUAUUUUCCAUUGCUCACCAACAAAGAAAAGAUAAAGUGUACACAUUCAUCAAAAGUACUAAAUUCAUUAAUACUUGAAAAAAUCUGUAACAAAAAGCAACAGGAUGGAAAAAGGGCUAAGAAUUACAUCAAUAGAAAGAAGACAAAAAAUAAGGGAGCAAACGACUUCGGUCCUUGGCAGCUUCAUCAUUCAGGACCUCCACUACUUCAACAGUUGGCAUCGGUACAGACUUGUCGGUCAUCACCGGUGCAAUGGGCUCUUUGGGCACUAACCCCUUAGCAAUUGGCUUCCCUGGGACUGGACCCUCAACAGCUGACUCCCCGGUGGUAGGCUCCUCGACCACAGGCUACUCAGAGACGGGCUCCACUAUAGCCAGCCACCUCUUCCAUAGUGGGUAUCGAUCCCUCCAAAGUAUGCUCCAGGGGUGUGGGCUGCUGUAGCUCCACCAUGGGAACAUCAACUAAGUAAACUUCAGAUAAUUGAGGAAAGAAAAUUGGAGGUUUAUGCCUCUACGAAAAGGGCCUUUAUCGAAGAAAUGAAAGGGUUUUGAGAAAAAAAGAAGCGAGCCCUCUAAAUGAAUACAUUGGGGACCAACGAGAACAAUGUCAAUCUCACCAGGCAUGGAUGGAUAGAUCUCAGAAAUGUAUGUAUACAACUAGAUCUAGAGCAUCUAAGGAGGACCUCCACAUCUCCAAUAUGUGGAGUUGAUUUAUUUAUAGAGAGGUAAACUAAAAUAAGGAGAGCUAGGGUCAUGGCAUGAUCUUCAGCAAGAUACGUGGUCAACUUGAGAUGGGCCUUGACCAUUUAAACAAACCAAAAACAAAGAAGGCACUUGCAAACCUAGACUAAGAAAAAGCAACAGAUUUCUAAUAUGACAUCGACCCAGUACGAUAGCAGUAAAUCCAUACAUAGUAAUUGUAACCAAUAUGUUGGUGCUGAGGUAGGCCAAGAUCAUUAUUGAGAAUGGCAACAGGAGUAUUGGCAUUAAAAAAAAUUUGCUAAAUGAUCAAAGGUUGAAAAGAAUAGCUAGAUCCAAAAGGCUCAAGCAGGUCAUGCCAUGAUUAGGUAGAAGGUAUUAGUUGAGGAAAACAAAAAUAUGGAGCAUCAUAGAGUAAUGGGAAGUUCACUCUAGAAGGAGAAAAGGAAAAGGCCAAGAUGUCAGAGAAACCAUUUUCUCCUAAAUAGAUGAUUUCUGCUUGGAGAUGCAGUCAAGCCAUCAGUUCCAAAGAUCACAUCUAAGAGACCAUGGUUGAUGGUGAUUAGAGUCUUUCUAGAUUGAAGAUCUAAACUCUACCCUCUUGUCCAAAAAAGUUUUCUAGGGAUGGCAUGGGAAAACAAAAGAAAUGCAAUGAGAGAUCAAAGACCUAAAUAGGACCUAAUAGAAAAAAGCCAAAAGGUUUUUGGAUCAGUACUUGAGAAUGUACCAAUUUCAAAACCCCAAAGCGCUCUAAUUCCUCUCAUCUUUCACAAAAGAGAGUAUGAAGAUAGGUAGGAUCUUGGCUUAUCUUGCCAUUGAGAUUGGAAAAGCUUUAAGAAGUCGAGGGGAGCAGGAGUUGCUGGAAAUGGCAAUGGAAGAUAGGCCCCUUGAGCUCUUUAAAAAGGUUUUGGUGCUGCGUAGCAUCGUGUCUUAGAAGGAUUCUAGGACACAUUCGGUUCCUGAUUAGAUUCGAAAUCGGAAUCAAAAUCGAAAUCAAAAUGGAUUGGAAUGAAAAUCAAAAUGGCCAUAUCCCCCGAUAUGUUUGGUUUGUGAUCAGAAUCUCAAUUGGAAUUGAAAUGAAAUUGGAAUACUAGAGAAAAGUAGGGAUUGGAUUUUGAGAGAUUAAAGCAUUUUCCAUUUCCUCCGGAAUCGGAAUGGGAAUGGGAAUCUUCCCAACCAAAUAGCUAGAAUGGAAGUCACUCAUUCCCAUCCCAUUCCCAUUCCAAAGUCCAACUCUCACUAACCAAACAUGCCCCCAAUUGAUUACAGUGCAUUAGGAAGUGGUUUACUUCGAAAGGUAAGCUAUCUUAUUAAACCAUGUAGACUAUCCUUGAAAGAAGAAGAUACAUAUCAAUGAGGAUUAUGAUGGAAGCACGAGAAUUCCAAAGGGCAUGAGUGCUUUGAAUUUCUAAAUGCCAUAGCUAUGACACCAAAUGUGGCAUACGGUACAUCCUAUUACUUGAAUAAUCAAUGGCUAAUAGGAUAUGGAGGGUAUUGUUUAUACCGCAUCUAGACAUCCAAGGAUAGCCACACACGUGGCCGACAUGAGGUAAACCACCAAGAUCAAGAACUAGUGUUAGCGUGAUCAUCCGACUGGCCGAUAAAAAGAAGAAACCAAGAGGAGCGAGUAUUAUGUGAAGCAGUUACAAGAUAGGAUCAUGCUACAAGACAAUUAAGAAGAGGCAGCUAAUGUUAGGCGGAAGAAAGUCUUAUAAUAGGCCAGGGCUAAUAGAGUAUGAAUAAUAGUCUAGCAAUUUGUGCAUGAUAGCCAUGCAGUACUAGAAAAGUAACCGAUAUUACUUACUAGAAUCGCCAUUAGUGGAUGGCAGAUGUGGGAGCUACCAUCAGAGUUGGUAGUUACUUUAUUUUAGUAUAACUAAUCGAAUUGUACCAUACAUUUAAGAGCCCUUCGAUAAUCAAUCAAAUGCAUUUUUUUUUCUUAUCUUAGUCUACUAUAGUUUCUACCCUAAGAGAAACUGUAACUUAGCUUUUACUACCAUAGUCCAAAGUUGCACCUUUUAUUUAUCUUCGAAGGGUCAUGUGAUAGUGAUGAAAGUCUUUGAAGGUCAAGGCAUCUGGAUCCACACUACUCUAUAUCGUCUCUUCGAUCGCCACUGAAACUCGAUGCCUUUCUCCACCAACCAAUCAGGUUUUCUAAGUUCAGUCAAAUAUGGCUUUAAACCUUCUUUGUGAUGCUUACAUUACAUAUUAAAAUUAAUUCAAUUUUAAAUUCAAAUAAGGUGUGUGGUAAAAUGUGCUAGCCACAUCGUGCACAUGCUUUAAACCUGCAUUUAAACAUCCAAUGUGGGACUAUUGAGGCAGCAAUCAUGGUUUUGUGGUGUCUAUUUUGGUUUUUCUCCAAUGUUAGCGGUCUACUGCUAUGCCAAUGAGGUAAUGGCACUUGGCAUCAUCGGGUGGGGAAUGUUGAAAUCUCCCGCUCACAAGGCCCUGGCAGAUGCCCUUGUAUCCAUGCGAUGGUUUUAUGCUCGAUAUUAUUGGUUGGUAUGGGGUCAUCUAGGCUCCCUGCACUAGCUACCUAAGCUCCAUGGCUAAAAAGUACUUUUUAGAGGACCAAGAACUUUUUUUUGGAUGAUUUUGAGUAUGGGGUAAAAAAUUUACAAUAGCUUUAUACUCCUCCCAAAGUUGAUAAAGGUCUGCUAAGGAAAACUUUAAUUUGUAGCUUUCAUGUAAAAGCUCUAUUUGAGAUGUAUUCUAGAAGCUAUUUUUUUCCUAAGAUCCUGGGUUCAAAACCUAGCGACGAAUUUUUUAAAUAAGUUAAUGAUAUUUUACAAUAAUAAUUUUUGAUGGUGUAAUAUAAUAUAAUAUAAUAUAAUGUAAUAUAAUUAUGAUCAUUAUCAUUCUACGAUAAUAAUCAUAUUAUAAUAUAUAAUAUUAAUAUACUAUAAUAGUAUUAUAAUAUAAUAUACUAGAAUAGUAACAUCAUUUUAUUAUAUGUAGUAAUAACAUAAUAAUAUGAUAAAAUUAUUAUUAUAUUUUAUAAUAAAUUUAAAAUUUAGUAUGUAUUAUAUUAUUUAGAUUAAAUAUCAAAAUAAAUAAUCGAUAAAUUAAGAAUACUUUAUAAAAAUAAUUCUAAUAGUACAAAUGAUUAGAUAAUUAAAAAGACUACAUAAUAUCUUUUUUUGUUAUUUUCUGAUACUAAAAGUAUUUUCUUAGUUUAAUUACCAAAUAUAUAUUAAAAUUUUACAAUACCACAAAAAUAAAAUUAUCAAACAGUAAAUAUUUUUUUUACUAAAAACUUUACCGGUAAAAGCUCUACUAUCCAAAGCUCUACAAAUAAAAACUUUAUUAUCUAUGGCUAUGCUAAAUGGGACUAUAAUCCCAUGAGAUCGACGUAGUGAGACGAGGCCUUUCUUGUACUUUGUAGCCUACUUGCANNNNNNNNNNNNNNNNNNNNNNNNNNNNNNNNNNNNNNNNNNNNNNNNNNNNNNNNNNNNNNNNNNNNNNNNNNNNNNNNNNNNNNNNNNNNNNNNNNNNNNNNNNNNNNNNNNNNNNNNNNNNNNNNNNNNNNNNNNNNNNNNNNNNNNNNNNNNNNNNNNNNNNNNNNNNNNNNNNNNNNNNNNNNNNNNNNNNNNNNNNNNNNNNNNNNNNNNNNNNNNNNNNNNNNNNNNNNNNNNNNNNNNNNNNNNNNNNNNNNNNNNNNNNNNNNNNNNNNNNNNNNNNNNNNNNNNNNNNNNNNNNNNNNNNNNNNNNNNNNNNNNNNNNNNNNNNNNNNNNNNNNNNNNNNNNNNNNNNNNNNNNNNNNNNNNNNNNNNNNNNNNNNNNNNNNNNNNNNNNNNNNNNNNNNNNNNNNNNNNNNNNNNNNNNNNNNNNNNNNNNNNNNNNNNNNNNNNNNNNNNNNNNNNNNNNNNNNNNNNNNNNNNNNNNNNNNNNNNNNNNNNNNNNNNNNNNNNNNNNNNNNNNNNNNNNNNNNNNNNNNNNNNNNNNNNNNNNNNNNNNNNNNNNNNNNNNNNNNNNNNNNNNNNNNNNNNNNNNNNNNNNNNNNNNNNNNNNNNNNNNNNNNNNNNNNNNNNNNNNNNNNNNNNNNNNNNNNNNNNNNNNNNNNNNNNNNNNNNNNNNNNNNNNNNNNNNNNNNNNNNNNNNNNNNNNNNNNNNNNNNNNNNNNNNNNNNNNNNNNNNNNNNNNNNNNNNNNNNNNNNNNNNNNNNNNNNNNNNNNNNNNNNNNNNNNNNNNNNNNNNNNNNNNNNNNNNNNNNNNNNNNNNNNNNNNNNNNNNNNNNNNNNNNNNNNNNNNNNNNNNNNNNNNNNNNNNNNNNNNNNNNNNNNNNNNNNNNNNNNNNNNNNNNNNNNNNNNNNNNNNNNNNNNNNNNNNNNNNNNNNNNNNNNNNNNNNNNNNNNNNNNNNNNNNNNNNNNNNNNNNNNNNNNNNNNNNNNNNNUAUUUUAUAUUUAUUAAAAAAAUUUAUUAUUAAAAAAAAAGGCCUCAUUCAUUGGAUUCGCCUUAGGCCCCCAAAUGUAUCGGGCCGCCCCUGCCUACUUGGUCAUUUUUAGUAUCAAAAAAGGACAUUGAAAAGGUGGCUAAAUUAAUUUCUUCAAAAGCCAAAACUUGAGGUACAAUCUUCGCUGAAUAUAGUGUCUAAGAAAGCAAAACAAAUAUUCCAUAUUUUCAUAAAAUGUGCACCGAGCAUCUCUGAGUGUCAUGCCCUUCUUCGUCGCAUCUACUGUACUUCUUUUUGUUGUCCACCGCAUGUACACUCCCUUCGUUCUAUCCUCAUCUCAUACUAGUGCAAUAGGUGGGAAGAGCGUGGAUUUUCCUUCCUGAGUGGAGCAGUGCUCCUGCCUACGCAUUAGCUUCAAAGAAUAACAAGGCCAAAGCUCUUAGGAGGUCAGGGGCAUAGAAGAAGGUGACAAUGAAGAGAGGGAAAAAGACAGGAAGCGCAACAAAGUGAAGAAAACCACAAGCAAGGAUGUAGCCUCAAAGGGAGCAGGCCUUAUGGCAUUGGGGGGAAAGGAAAAAGCAGAGGGCAAAACAAUGGUGGUUGUGGAGUGAUAGGUCCCACUCAGAGAAGAAGGAAGUGAAGAAUGAAAGAGAAAGAACGUUGUUCUUUAUAUACAUUCCAUGCAAAACAGCCUACAGCUCUCUUCGGGCGAGAGCAGCCCAGUGCAAAUAAAAUAAGGGAAAAUACAACUAUGCUUCUCUUCUUUCCAAACCCAAGGCGUCCCUUCCCUUUUGAUUAAUUUUCUCUGUUGAGCAUCUUGGGCCAUCAUUUGUCACUCGACGUCCAUCACUUGUCAUCGCUCCCACGUCCACGAGACCUCCGGACCUCUUUAGUGCCUCCACGUCCCACGUCCCAUGAGAGACUCGGCCAUGCAUCCCCUUGGCGUGUUCCGCUCGCUCCGUCCUCGCAACCGAACCAUGGCUGGAACGAGUCUUCCUCUCGCUCUCGCUCCCAGCUCUCUCACAGUCGCCUUGGCUCCGCUUUCCGUUGGUUCCCGCGUGUGGAGUGACGUCCAGACCCAUCAGGUAACGGGGGUUUGGUUUCCGAACCCGUUGUGGCCUGAUGGGUUUAGUCAUGGGCUCAUCAUCCACUCCCCCAUCAACUGAAACCUUGUCCUCAAGGUUUGUCUCAGGGUAUUGUUCCUGCAAGUGACCAUAAUCCUCCCAGGUGGCAUCUUCUUCCGGAAGCGAACGCCAUUGUACGAGGAUUUCUUCUGUUAGCCUUCCUCCUUUGUUGACCCAGCGGUAGUCUUUAACAAGUUCAGGCUCCAACAUUAAGUUACCACCCUCGCGUAUGGGUGGUGGAGCCGGACAGGAAGUUUGCCCCUCGCCCAGUUUCCUCUUGAGGAGUGAGACGUGGAACACCGGGUGGACCUUGGCUGUUUCCGAUAACUGCAACCGGUAUGCUACUGAUCCCACCCGUUCAAUGACACGGAAGGGUCCGAAAUAUUUCUGGGCAAGUUUCUGAUGCGCUUGUCGGAAGACUGUCUGUUGGCGGUAGGGAGGAAGUUUGAGAAACACCCAUUCCCCUUCGUCGUAGGUCACUUCCCUCCAUUUUUUGUCGGCCUGCUGUUUCAUUCGGUUUUGCGCCUUCUCCAAGUUGCAUUUGAGCUCUCUUAGUAGCUGAUCAUGGUCGAGUAAGUUCCUAUCGACUUCAUCAGCGGCUGACACUCCCUCCAUAUACCGGAUAAUGGAAGGUGGAGCUCUCCCAUAUAAAGCUUGAAACGGCGUCAUCCCGGCAGCGGAAUGGAAGGUGGUGUUAUACCAGAAUUCCGCCCAAGCCAAGUUGUGCUCCCACGUCUUGGGAAACUGACUGCACAUGCAUCUAAGAUAUUGUUCCAUGCACCUGUUCACCACUUUAGUCUGCCCAUCGGAUUGUGGGUGAUAAGCCGAGCUCAUGUUGAGGGUAGUCCCUUGCAGUUUGAAGAACUCGCGCCAAAAUGUGCUUACAAACACAGGGUCACGGUCACUAACAAUUGAUCUUGGCAUCCCAUGUAAGCGAGCCACUUGAGUUACAAAGAGCUCAGCUACCCCCUUAGCCGUAUACAGAUGAGAUAGGGAUAAGAAAUGGGCGUAUUUGGUCAACCGGUCGACAAUGACUAGUAUCACAUCUUUACCUCUGGAUCGUGGUAACCUUUCAAUGAAGUCCAAGGAUAUAUCUUCCCAUACUUGCGUAGGUGUCGGAAGAGGUUGUAGUAGUCCAGCCGGAGCCUGUGCUUCAUACUUUUGUUGUUGACAAACUAUGCAUUCCGCCACAAACCGUCGGAUAUCUUUCUUCAUUGCUUCCCAGUAGAAGGCUUGAGAGACCCGCUUGUAAGUUCGUAAAACUCCGGAAUGCCCGCCGAUCUUGGUGUUAUGGAACUCCUCUAUCAGUUUGUUGCAUAGGGGAGAUCCAGGGGGAAUCACGACCCGACCUUUGUAGUAUAGGACUCCGUCUUUGAGCUGGUAAUCCUUCGUGUGAUCUGGUGCAGUGUUGAGUUGCUGUAACUUGCCUUGCAAAUACGAGCUUUCCUGGUUGGCUACUCGUAUGUCUUCCCAGAUAUCGAAGAGCGGCCAACUGAUGGCUUGAAGUAAGGUGACUUCGGGUUGGCGUGACAAUGCGUCCGCUGCUGUGUUAUCCUUUCCAGGCUUGUAGACGAUCUCAUAUUCAUAUCCCAGUAGCUUGGCCACCCACUUUUGCUGCUCCGGUGUACUCACCCGCUGCUCCAAGAAGUGUCGCAGGCUCUUUUGAUCGGUGCGGAUUUGGAAUUUCUUUCCCAACACAUAGGGUCGCCACAGUCGAACUGCUUCCAUAAUUGCCCACAUCUCCUUCGCAUAUGUGGACCAUCCUUUCUUUGUUAAACCCAGGGCCUUGCUCAUAUAUGCAAUGGGUCUCCCAUUCUGUGAUAACACUGCCCCAAUCCCCUUAACGGAAGCAUCUGCUUCAAUAACAAACGUUCCCGAAAAGUCAGGCAUCGCGAGCACCGGGGUGGUCAUCAUAGCUUGUUUGAGGCGAAGGAAAGCUUCCUCAGCUUGAGAACUCCACUGAAAAUGCCCUUUUUUCAGCAAGUUUGUUAGGGGUGCGGCGAUGAUUCCAUAGUUCUUGACGAACUUCCUGUAAUAACCUGUCAAUCCAAGGAAUCCUUGAAGCUCCAUCACAUUCGUCGGUCGUGGCCACCCCUGCAUGGCUUGGAUCUUGGUGGCGUCGACCUGCACCCCCUUGGCCGAAACAAUGUGGCCAAGGUACUCGACUUGCUGCUGCCCGAACGAACACUUGGUUGGUUUCAAAUAGAACCGAUGUUCAGCAAGGAUUUGUAAGGUGGUAUCGAGAUGAGAUAGGUGCAGCUCCCACGUGUCACUGUAUACUAAGAUAUCAUCAAAGAACACUAGGAUGAAUUUUCUCAGAUAUUUUCUGAAGAUGGAGUUCAUGGCAGCCUGGAAUGUGGACGGGGCAUUACAUAGCCCGAAGGGCAUUACCAAGUAUUCAAAGUGCCCAUAGUGGGUUCGGAAAGCAGUCUUAGGGAUGUCUUCCUGAUGAACUCUGAUUUGGUGGUAGCCUGCUCGGAGAUCUAGUUUGGAGAAGUACCGCGCCCUGAGAAGUUCGUCGAGCAUGUCGUCCACCAUCGGUAUGGGAAACCUAUCCUUGAUAGUGGAAGCAUUGAGCGCAUGAUAGUCAGUACAAAAUCUCCAGGUCCCAUCUUUCUUCUUCACGAGCAAUACUGGAGAAGAGAACGGGCUCUAGCUUUCCUGAUGAUCCAUGUUUCGAGCAUCUCUGCCACCUGACGUUCGAUCUCGUUCUUCUGGUAGUAGGCAUACCGAUAUGGCCUGACAUUGAACGCCGACGUCCCUUCUUGGAGGGGUAUCCUGUGGACGAAAGAUCGCUCUAGUGGUAGACCUCGAGGCUCCUCGAAGAGUGGCGAGUACUUAGCCAGUAAUUGCCGCAAGUCAGGAUGUGGAUUCUCUGCUUCCGCCGGAAGUGGUUGUUGUCCUGCAUCCUGCACAAAGAUGGGUUCUCCCUUUGAUUUCCCAGCGCACCCCUUGUGGAUCAAGGGCUUGUGCUGGUCGCGAAGGUUGUCCCGAGAUCUCACAUUCUUGGCCAUUCCACUGGAACCUCAUCGUUAGAUGUUUUCAGUCACAGAGUACAGGGCCCAGCAUUUCCAACCACUGGAUACCUAGGACGGCAUCCAGUCCCACCAAUGGCAGCUUGUAGAAGGUCACCAGGAAACACUUCCCUUGCAACUCUAUGUUGAUUGAUCGAAACCUCUCCUGACAUUGGAGAGUUUCUCCAUUGGCAACACGGACCCCGAACUCCUCUGUAGUGUCUACCGGCAGUUGGAGCACCUUGGUAACUCGGUUGCUCAAGAAAUUGUGGGUCGAUCCGCUGUCGGUGAGAACCAUCAGCGGUUGUCCUCGGAUAUGGGCCCGGACGCGCAUGGUUCUUGGCCCGUUUCACACUGAUAGGGCAUGUAAUGAUAUCACCGGGGACCCACCUUCUUCGUUCCUAUCUUCUCCACAUUGCUCAGGAGCCCCGCCAGCAGGUGCUUCUGGUUCUUCAUCGCGGUCUGCUUCAAUCAAAUGGACCUGUGGAGUUUUACACCGAUGUCCUGGAGUAAAACGUUCGUUGCAUUUGAAGCAAAACCCGCACUCCCGACGCUGCUGCAUCUCUUCCUACGUGAUUCGUCGGACUGGCGUUGGCGCAGGAAGCCGCGGCACAGAGGUAGACGAGGAUGGGAAGGUGCUGGUUCCCGGACUCGUCGUGGUUGGAGCCUUGGUGCUCCCCGUGAUGUGAAACCCGAUGUGUCGUGGGGUGUUUCGCUUCUGCUCCAGCCGCUCCUCCCGCAUGCGAGCAACGGUAAUGGCUUCCGGCAGCGAGUGGGGUUGCCUCAUUCGUACCUCUUUGGCUAUCUCCUCCUUGAGUCCUCCGACGAAGGUUCCGUUCAACGCCUCCUGCGGCCAGCCACUAACUCUGUUGGCCAAUUUCUCGAAUUCUUAUUGAUACUCCCUCACUGUUCCCUUCUGUUGAAUACGUGAUAACUUCUCGUUGAAGUUGACAUACUCAUUUGGCCCGAACCGCGCCAACAACUCCUUCUCAAAGAGUUGCCAUGUUACCACCAACCCUUCAUCCCGAUAAGCUCGUCGCAGCCAUUGCCACCAGUGGUUUGCCUCCCCGUCCAAGUAGAAUGAAGCAGUGGAAACCCGACGGUUGGCUGGAACCCCUUGACUGUCGAAAUAUUGUUCCGCCCGGUCAAGCCAAACGAUCGGAUCUUCCCCCGUGAACUUUGGAAAGUCCAUCCUUGGAUGUCGCAAGUAGCCGGUGGUGUCUUCCAGUCGGCCAGGGCCUCCUCCCGGUGGUGAUGGAGGAAACGAGGCCUGAGGUUCCAACGGUGGUCGUGGAGGGGCAGACAUUUGUAGGUCGCGGAUGGCCUCCAAGAUUUCGGUGAAGCGUCCUUCCGCACGGUGUUCCAUGCCGCGUAGCUCCUCCUGUACAACGCCCAUCUCGGCUUCAAGGCGUUCAAUCCUCUCUUUAUUCGGCAUCCUCCAGGCUCUGAUACCACUGAUAGGUCCCACUCAGAGAAGAAGUGAAGAAUGAAAGAGAAAGAAUAUUGUUCUUUAUAUACAUUCCAUGCAAAACAACCUACAGCUCUCUUCGGGCGAGAGCAGCCCAGUGCAAAUAAAAUAAGGAAAAAUACAACUAUGCUUCUCUUCUUUCCAAACCCAAGGCGUCCCUUCCCUUUUAAUUACUUUUCCCUGUUGAGCAUCCCGGGCCAUCAUUUGUCACUCGACGUCCAUCACUUGUCAUCGCUCCCACGUCCACGAGACCUCCGGACCUCUUUAGUGCCUCCACGUCCCACGUCCCAUGAGAGAGACUCGACCAUGCAUCCCCUUGGCGUGCUCCGCUUCCUCCGUCCGCGCAACCGAACCAUGGUUGGAACGAGUCUUCCUCUCGCUCUCUCUCCCAGCUCUCUCACAGUCGCCUUGGCUCCACUUUCCGUUGGUUCCAGCGUGUGGAGUGAUGUCCAGACCCACCAGGUAACGGAGGUUUGGUUUCCGAACCCGUUGUGGCCUGAUGGGUUUAGUCAUGGGCUCAUCAUGGAGAUGGUAGAGUUGAGCAAAGGAGCCGGUAACCAACAAGGCCACAAAAACAAGGAGAGGAAUGAAGAGAUUAGGAGAUUGAGAAAGAAGAAAUAAGGGAUAUGGAGAGAGAGAGAGAGAGAGAGAGAGAGAAGAACUAGANNNNNNNNNNNNNNNNNNNNUAGAGAGAGAGAGAGAGAGAGAGAGAGAGAAGAACUAGAGAACAACCCCAGGCUUUAGACUGCACCCAAAUCAACCCAAGCAUCGAUUCGAACCCAGCCUGAAACACAGACUUAAUAUUUAAACCAAGCCGAACCUGAACUCACUCGAGCCGAACCCAACGCCCAACCUUAAAAAGCAGCCGUGCGUGCGUAUCACAAGGCUCUUUACACUGCGAUACAGUAAUAACCAGCCAAGUCUAAAGCCUACCGACAUCAUCUCAAGUUAUACUUGCAGCAGUCCAACAAUCGAAAAGCUUUGGGUAACUCCAUCCAAGGAAAUUGGAAGAACGGGAGAAGAAAAGAAAACCCAGAAGCUGAAUGCUCAAAACAACCGAUCAAAUUGAUUUGAAAAAGGAGGCCAUAGUAGAUCCAUCCAAAGUUUCAAGAAAUAUGCACUAUGAAAAAUGUACCUCUUAGAUACACCAAGGAGGGAAAUUGGCGAGUGAAUUACAGCAUGCUAUAAGAACUUCGGCAACCAUAGGAAACAAACAAACUUGGCCUGCCAACUUUGACAUGUAAUAGAGUAGACACAGAACCACUUUGAUUACACCAUUACACCCUGUGCCAAAUAUCCACAUCUCACAUUUGAUGGCCCCAAACAAGUUCCUUGAUAGAUAUAUUAUAUUUUUUCCCCUAAAAACAAGCAUGCACAAGAACAUUACGCGCCAUAACCACUAUAUCAGGCCUGAUUCCCCCUCCCGCGGCCACCCAUCCUUCCCCGUCCACGGCCAUAACCUCUUCCUCCUGGACCUCCACCCCUGCCUCCCACUCCUGUCAUGUCAAAAGCAAAAGGACGCGUAUGUCAUUGAUAGCAGACUUUUUUAUGGAUCAAAUUUACUGAAGGUCCAAGUUCGUGAAGGAUUCAAUACAAAGGAAACACCGUGGAAUGACAAUGUGCCUCCCCCUAUGCAUGUGUAUGUAAUACAUAAAAAGCUAGCAGCACAUAGAAGGUAAAAUAAGCUGGCCUCAUAAAAGCUUAACAAAUAUCUCCAAGUGGAGUGACUAGUUUGAUCCCCAUAGGCUUUUAUUAUCUAGUUGAGCAUAUUAUUUUUCCCAGGUGUCUUCGACGCCCAACAACCAGAUGGAUGGCUCAACUUGAGCCAGCUCAGGCAUCUGGCUGGCGCGCGCACACACAAUAAGGCACACCCAUCUUGUACUACCACCUGGUUGGACAGCUAGAACCCACCCUACUCAACGAUAACAGAGGUACCUUUCUCUUCAACCCAUCUGGUUUCAUAGAGUAAGAAAAAUCUAAACUGGUCCAUCUCCAAUAUAUAAUCAGGCAAAAACCUAAACUACUCCCGCUCUGCAUCAUCAUGAUGGUUUCUGCCUUUCUCUCUCUUUCACUGCCCUCUCUGGUAAUUCUUCCAUUCUCUCUAACUUCAAGAUCCCCUACAGACUUUGUGGCUCCUCCCUUGCCCAGGUAUAAAAGAUAGAAUGAAAUCAUCCCCCCUCUCAUAGACCAGUGGCUCAAGGAUGCUCAUGUCUUGGAUAAUUUCAAGAAGACACAUUGACCACCAUUGACGGUUUUACAUAAUCUAAGGAAAACAUGGCAAUCAUUUGUAUUUACUAUUUUUUCUGAAAAUAUAAGAUAAUGGAAUAGGAAUAGUAAAAGAAUCAGAAAAGAAACAUAAGAGUGGGAGUUUUGAUUUCUUUAUCUGCUUGUCAAGGAUUGGGAGAAGAGAAGAGAGGGUGGCGGUCAGUGCAAACCACAAGAGAGCCCAGACUGUAUAAAGGACAAAGGAAAAUCUUUUUCUCAAACAAAAGAAUCCAUCCAACUCAUUUGAACCACAGCUUGUUGUAUGGGAAAUAGGACAAAAAAUAUGAAAUCAAAAGCCAUCAUAUUCAUCCCUAAUUCUGUCUCUGAAUUAGAAACCUCCAAAAACUCUCCCUCUUCUAUUCCCUCCCUUCUUAAAAAGACAUCACACACAUCCUCAAUCUCAAAUCACCACUCAUGAAUUGACUUCCUCCAAAAACUCUCCCUCUUCCUCUUCCUUUUUUUCUGUUUUUCCCCUUUUUAUCUAGGACUUGUUUGUAUUAAUCUUGAGAAAGAAAAAGAAAUAGAGAGGGUUUAGCAUUGGGGAAGCCAAGAUGGAAGAUGAAGGAAUCGCAAUAAGUGCAAAGCCAGACCAGUUUAUGAAAGCUGGGCAGCUCAAACAGAAAAAGAUCCAACAUUAACUUAACUCAGAUCCGAUCUGCCUGGCAGCUUGGGAUUUGGCACCCUACAAGGUGGGUGUGUGGGUGUGAGUGUGGGUGCGUGAGCAUCGCCCACACACUUGAAAACCACUCAAGCUUAAAUUAGAUGACCAUCUAUUUGUGGCAUGCAAGUAAUUCAUAUCUUAUACUCCUACUUUGACUCAGAAAGUCUCAGCAAAAUCAUGAGGUAGAUAGUCAUUAGGUAUGUAAUUUAAUGUGAUUUAGAUGCUACAUCUGGCUUCACAGAAUCACAAAGAUAAAAUUACACAUGCAUAGCAUCUAUGAGGUGUGUAAUUUAAUGUGAUUCAGAUGAAAUCCACAGUACAAAAGAUUAUAUUUGGUAUCAUAUGUACUGCAAUACACCCCCAUAUCAACUAAUGGUUUGCCAAUACAGGGCAGUACACGAUUAUACACACCAUGUUAUGGCACGGUAUAUAUCAUGGUAUGGUUGGUUUUUCAACCCUUAAUCAUAAAUACACAGUGGAACCAAUUGCAGCUUUAACGGUUGCGGGUUAUGAAGGAGAAAUUCAAACCCUCAAAUGUGAACUACAAUGCCUAAAAGGCCUAUCAAAAACUCAAUAUUUUGGACACUCUGCUUAUGCAUCAAGUCAUGCCAAAUUUAUAGUCUUAAUGGCAAAACAGUGUUUUGAUUUUAGGGAGACUUGAUGCAUAGGCAAAAGGUUUUCAAAGCACAUGAUUCUUUGUUUAUAGAGCAUCAUGGGCCUUACAAAUCAUAUAAAAUAGUUUAGAUUUCCAUUUUGUAAGCCCAAUAAUUGGUUUUCACAAUGGAUGAAAAGGCCUUCUUCCCACCCUAUCUCCAUAGACAGAAGUACAUGCAUGAGACAAAUAUGUACACAUACUCAAAUGCCCGCCUACCCACACAAUAAAAUUUAUGUUCGUGUGUUGUCCACAUCUGUGCAUGCAUCAAGCCCAAGACCACAAAACAAGGGCAAUGGUCACCCAACUCAAAUCUAUUUUGGGACAAAAUCUGAGACUACUGAUGCAAAGCUCAGAUCAGAUAAGUCUUAAGCACAUGACAAUUUAGGUACAGCCCACCAUGGCUCAAGCCAGCCUGAGCUCAAUACCAUUCCUAGACAGAAUCCAACUCAUUCGGGCAGACCUUAUUAACAGAGUUGCAAGAUCAUACAUCUAAAAUUGAGAAAACAGGGUAAGAGUGCCUGAAUUAAUUUGGAGUCAGAGACAUUCACAAGUUAUGACCAAUGUGACAUUAGAUCAACAUUGAUUUUGAACUCGCUAAAUGUCAAUUUCGUGAAAGCACUGUGAAUGUUGCAGAGACUAUAACCAGAGAUAUGCAUUUAUCUCAAAUUCAUUAGCCGAAUUUAUCCAAGUGCAUAGGUAAUACCUUAAAAUCAUGUAAAAUAGCAAUGCAAGGCAUAGAAAUGAUUAUUGAAGGCUUACCACGAUAGCCCCAACCACCUCUACCUCGCCCACCACCCCGGCCCCAGUUCCAGUUAUAUCCACCAUUUUCUACCAUGAACAGAAAAUUCAACGACCAUUAACAAAAAAGAACUCAGAAAAUAAAGGUGAAAUCUAGACUCAAAGAAUGUCAGUUUAAUGAUGUUUCUUGUGAGAGAACUCUGCCCUAUUCUGGCUUCCAAUCAAUUAGUUCAAUUUCUGGCUAGAAGUUAUAUUAGCUUAAACUAAGCUGCACCCUAUAGGCCAGCCAAGGAAGCCACCUGAUCAAGCAUCUGACAAAUACAUGUUAAUUAAGAAUUUUGCGUACCUCGAUUGUUGCCAUAUCCACCGUAUCCACCAUUGUUGUUGCCAUAUCCACCGUAUCCCCCAUUGCUGUUGCCAUAUCCACCGUAUCCACCAUUGCUGUUUCCAUAUCCACCGUAUCCACCAUUGCUGUUGCCAUAUCCACCGUAUCCACCUGGAUUGUUGCCAUAUCCGCCAUAUCCACCAUAUCCUCCUCUACCCCAACCCCUUCCUCUUCCUCUACCUCGACCGCGUGCACGUCCAUAUGAAUCUUUAUCAAGUAGAAAAUUAUCAGUGGUUUCAAUCAUCAAAAGUCCUAUCAAUAACAGAUUGUACCUUCAUUAAGUUGACCUUGUGCUUGUCUAGGUUGAUAUUGCUGCUGUUGUUGAUACUGCUGUGGCUGCUGGAAUUUUUGCUGUUGUUUUGGCUGCUCUGCAUGUAAUGGAGCUUGAUACCUACCAAACAAAGGCGACAAAAAUCAAAACAGCAUUAAAAUAACAUGGAUGACACCUACUAAGUAGAUUGGCAAUUACAUAUCAGCUCCACAGAAAAAAUAUCACAUAAAUUACCCAGGGGAGUUCUUGUUGAGCUCUCUGGUUGACAGAGAUAUUGAUAUCAUGGAAACAUGGCGCGUCAUCUCCAAUCUGCAACAAGGUAUAUACUGUAAAAUAUAUCACCAACGUCUAUUCAAGUCUGUAAUUACUUAUAUAGUGUGAGCAAUAAGAAACUUAACGGUACAAGGCCCUCCUCAAUUGGUUCCCAUACAUCAGUGAUACUGACUGAACUGAUAGCCGUAUCUUGAUGUAACCCAGGAAUCCUUUUCUGCAUUCAAAAUAAAUGGGUGAAGAAGCUUUCAGGCAUAAAAGCAGACAAAAUAGCAUAUGGAGAACUGAAAAUCAACCUUUAUAAUCUCUGCAAUGGCCACAGUCUUGCUGAUUGCCUGUCCCAUAGCCUUCAAGACAAUCUCUCUGACCCUUUUUUCCUGAUCAAAACAACAUCCCCAAAAUAACAAACAUAAAAUUAGUUUCUGAAUACCACCAAAGCCUGCAUACACAUUAUCAGUACAUACAAAGACAUCCAUGGAAAAUAAUUACAAGAUCUCAUUCAGUGAAAAAAAGAAAAAAGAAAUUAUUAGUAGGCGAAGAAAUAAAAGAGCAGAAUUUUUCUGCAUUAUAUUUUUUAGAUAGAUAAAAGAAAGUACCUCUCCUUGAACAAGAAAUGAUAGUUUUGGCUUUCAUGAGCAAGGCUUUCAUGGACUCAUGAUUAUAAUAUGAUAUCAAAAUCGCAUGAAACAAGAUUAACAGAACUUAAUCAUUAGCAAUUUCUGCAAAGCAACAAGUUUUUGCCAGAAAAGAAUAAAAUUUUCACUAGUCAACCUUCAAUUAACUCCAAUACAUAGUCGAAACUAUAAAAAUAAAAAAAAUCCAAAAACACUCAGAGAAAAACUAAAAAUUAACGGAAGAUUAAUAAGUCUUAGCAUCACAGCAAGAUUAUGCAAGGCCCAAUUACCCCACACAAUAGAGUCCCUGGCAAGUUCAACCAAGAAACUUCAAUUGAAGGCCAACGAAUGUCUCAGAGAAAACCCAUUCUGUACCCACUCUCUACAUUAUUUUGCCUUGUUAGACAUCACUUCCAGUUUGCAGUUUUCAAUUUUUUCAGACACAGAAAUCAAUUGUUGUCUGGUAACCCAAUUUCUAUUUUCAAUUUUUUGAAAACUCUUAGUUUCUAGAAAUUAUGGAAACAAAAAAAAAUGUUUUGAAAACCAAAGCGACCCACAGCCACACGCCAGCCAUCAACCAAUACAAGCCGGCACUGCUGCCAUAAACUUAACCUGACUACCAAACAAGUUUUGGGUUUUCAAUUUUCAGAAAAAUAAACUUGGAAUUGGUUUUAUUUUUUUAAUAAAAUGAAAACUGAAACAAAAAGUGAUGACAAACGCCAUCUUAAAAAAAAAUAAGACCGUGUUCUAAAUGAAAUAAUAAUCUAGAUUCAAAUAUCUGAUGCUAAUAUAGAUUUCAUAGAACGUCUAAUUAUUUCGCUGUACAACUUUCUUUAUGGAAGAAGGCAGCAAUUCCUUUUUUCCAAUAUUACACAUUAGAAAUAGCUAAAGAUAAAAUCUUUCAAAUAUUUAUUUCAUUUCUAUGUCGUGUUUCAGAUUGAGUCGAGAAGGGUUUCAACACUUUAACAGACAACCCAAUUCAUCGAUUUGAAGUUCAAACUGACUAAUUAUAACCAAGGCUUACCAUCUUGGUUCUAGACCCCAUUCCGAUACCAUGCUGGUACAGUGUUGGUACGCCUAAUAUGGGGUUGGUUCGGUAUAUGGAGACUCAGUACACCCCAUGUUCCGAAUCUUAAUUUGGUACCAAUAUUGAUACUAUUACGGUAUGCCCAGUAUGGCGCAAUGCGCACUGUUAGAGCAAACCUUGAUUAUAAGCUAUAGAAGUAUAAGAAUCAUUUGAUCAUAAGCAGACUCCAGCUAGUACCAUAAAGAACCAAAUAUAUCAAAAUAAAUGCUCAAACAUAAUUGGCUCCUCGUGUCUUAACUUCCUCUCUUUCGUCAUGAAUCAUGGCAUUUUCAUGUUAGCCUUAUGGUCUUGACAAGAAAUACUUAUGACUACUAAAUAAGAACCAGCACACGGCCCUUACAUAUAAUGCCAAAACUAGAUUCAACAGUGCUUAGAAACCAAAAUCCAAAAAUUGGAACACCACAUAAUUCGAUUUUGUAUAAAAUAAGGCAAUUUUAAUAAUAUUGUAAGAAAAGGCAAAUAGUAGCACAUUCACAUGCUUCCCAUUUUUAUAUAGAAUGAACGAUUGCACUUAUAAAAUGGAUUGAUCAGAAAAUGGAUUGCCAUUUGUUUAUUUUGUCAAGAUCCAUUGGUCCUAGCAGCGAGCAAUAGUACGUAGAUUUCACCAAACAUGACUUUCAGCCUCUUAGGCUAUGUUUGGUUGCAGGGUAGCAAACCCUGGAUUAGCUAUCCCUGACCUGCAAAUGUUCCAGUAUUCCUUUUGCCCUGGAUUAAUGAAAAACCCCAAUUUUGUUGAGGCUCUCUAGCUUCCUGGAUUAGAUGAGGAAAGAGGUGAAGAAGAGAGAAGAGAUGGGUUAAAAGUAGGGUUAAUAGUAUUUCACCACCAGUGUGACAUUAACCUGCUAAGUGAGUUUCUACCACUGACUGACUAAAUUUAACAUGGGAAAAAAGAGGCCAUGUUUGGGUGGUAAGCAGCAUAAUUCACCUCUAACCUACAAUCAGACACUGCCUUGACAAUACAUUUUCCUUUCAGAUUCCAGUCAAUUUAUUUUAGUUUGACAGAAGAUAUAAGAUCCAGAACAAUCUAAAAGUAUUUCGAUGCAUUGAACUUGGUUGUAAGCAAAAUAUAUAGUAUCUUCCAUGGAACCUGACCAGAAUCAGACACUCAACAACGUUGUUCAUUAAAUGUUUCAAUUUAACAAAUUGUUUUCAGUUCCUUGGUUAGCUGACACAUAGUCCAAAACAAGAAUUAUGAACCAUGUAUUCACAAACGUAUGUCUUUCACCAUAAACUUUCUAGCAUCUCAAAUUAGCUAGCAUGUCGAAAACUGUCCAAGGUCGAGUUCUUAUAUGUGCUAAAUAGACAAAGGUUAAGUUGAAUAGACAUCACAGAAGAAACUGCAGGGAGGGAAUAAUGAUGUUGAAAAAAGCAGUCAAAAAUCAAGUGUAGAGAAAGAUGAUGCAAUUUGUCUUCUAUGCUGUGUGGGCAGCAGUAGAUGCAAAAAUAGUUGAUUGAAAUUCUCUUCUGAUGAGAGACCUGGAAAAAUAUAGCUGCCUUCAAUAACUCUUUGGCAAGGUCUAAAAAUAACAAGUAUAAGAUGGUUGAGGAACGGAUUACAUUGCGUGCUGUAUCAACAAAAAGUAUACACCAGUACAUUUUGACAAGGACCAUAUGCCUUUAGUACUAUCAAUUUUGGUCUCCAUUUUUUAUGCAUUUUUCUUAUGAAUUUCCUUGAUCAGAUAAGAGUAUCCAUUUGAGUGUCUUAGUCAUCCAAUUUGAUGUCAUCUGAAGUUUUUGAAAUAGGUUAUGAAGUUUACAACAAUAACAAUCAUAUUCAAUCAUGAAUCUUGCUAAUAGCUCUUAACUUACAAUUAUUACAAUCAGUUUGAUUAUCGAGUAAAUAUAUAUCAACAAAUUAUCUAAUUCUUGUGUGUACAUAAUUAAAGACAUACAAACUACAUGAUAAAGGACGAAAUUCAUUUUCAAACUAUAGUUUAUGUGCAUAGACUACAUAAUAAUAGAGAUAUUCAGGAGCCAUUGAUUUAGGUAAAAGAAUUUUUAUUUAUAUAUCUAACAGUUCACUAAUGAUAUAAAAAUAUGUUAUCUUAAAUAAACAUCAAUUAUGUUUAGUAGAUCGUGUAGUUUCUUAAUAAUUAUCAGAACAAGUUCUGCCAUAUUAUAUUAUCUAUAAUCCAAUUUAUGUUCUUUCAAUAAAUUCCUAAAUUUUUUCAACCUAGGUCUUUUUGAGACAAUCAUGUAAGCUAGGAGAAUGAUUUUUAUGUUAAUUUUGACAAUUAAGAUUUCAUAUCCUAUUAUUUGCCUAAUUAGUAAAAGAAUAACUAGCCUUACAAUUAAGCAUUUGUGUACAAAUGCUUAUCGACAUCAAAUCAUUGUAGUAGUUUAUUCAUUCUUUUUGGAUAUUUUUGAAGCAAAAUACCCAAUUAAAGUUCAUCCCAAGUAGCCAUGGCCGGUACUGCUUGAUUUGGUGCAGUUCAAAGCUGAUUCAGGCCCAAUCUGCCCAAUACAAAGCCGAUUAGGGUGGUACAUGGCUCAGUUUGGCAUAUCCCUGAGCAUACCAGGCCCUGCCUUAUUGGCUUCCUUACCAACUUAAGUCCAGUAUGGUAGGUACCGGCCAGUAAGGAGCCACUAUACUCAACUUUUCAAACCUUGCUCUUUAUCAAGCCAAACUGUAAUGAAAUCCAUGUACAAGGCUAUUGUUUAAUAAAGCUUUUUGAUAAGUUACAAGGCACAGCAAAAGUUACAGAAAAUGGCAACAACAAAUGUUAAUAUAGUAAUCAAUUCUGUUGUUCUAUGCAAGGUCAAUGAUAGAUAUCAUCUUGAUGCUUAUGCAAUUAGUGGAAAGAUAUAAAGAAAUGUUAACAAGAAUGCAGAUGAUCUUGCACACCAACAAAGAUGACAGAAAUGAUAAUGUUGAGAUGUAUGUGUAGCAAAUAACCAAAAUAAGUUGAAGAAUAAGCAUAUAUCUUGAGGUAUAGGAGUUACAUCAACUGAGAACUAACUAAUUGAGAUAGUAUGUGUGUAUGCAGCAAAUGUUUCAAAAGGUUUUCAUAAAGAGAGGUACUCAAACCCAUUCCAAGGGUCUACAAACAGGGUAAAACCUAAGCAAUCAUCUAAGAACAUGAGGACCAUAAACCUUAUAAAUAAUACAAAGGCAACCGUUAAUGGGAAUAAACCUUAACAGAUUAUGGUUUAUAAAGCCAACUCCAUGUAGUUGGCCAAGACUUGAUAGGUAUUACAGUUUGUACUACAAUUUAUGUGCACAAGCAAAUCCUCUCAGAAUAAUUCAAACCCAAAAUUUACCAUGCAAAACACAAUAUGGAUCAUCUAACCUGAAAAGUUACAUUGCUGGUCAUGAUCUAUUUUUUAAAAAAGCUUAAAAAUCCAAAAGUCAAAUAUUUGGGAGCUCCAAACCUAUGAACAAUUUGGGUACAAGAUGAAUGAUAUCAUAGAACUAAUGUACAAAAAUAACAAUUAACUACAUAUGUUUAAAACCCACAGCAAAGCUCAGAAUCCCUGCAUCUAAAAACAAGCAUAAGCUAAAGAUUACCAAGGUUGGAUAUUUCUAAACCAUAAUUUAGGUACCUCGCUACUGGAAGGAAAAAAAAAGAGAGGUCCUUUAUUCCAUGUACGAUGAAGAUCUAAGGGGGCGGAAAGGUAUUUUAAUGGGUUGAAGGUUGCAGGAAAAAGAAGGGAAGACCUAGCGUAACCUGGAUGAAGGUUGUGAGGAAAGGCAUGGAGAAGCUUGGAGUGAAAUCUCAGGUGGCCUUAGAUCAAAAUACUUGGUGAAUGAGACUCCAGAAAGCUGGAGCUAAAUAGCUGGGAAAAGACAGGAUGGAUAUCAUUACAAUUUACGGCUGAAACUAUACAUUUUCUAAACAUUUAUUACACAUGUCAGAAAUUUCUAAAUAGUAUAUUUUGGGUUUUCAGGCAUUUUAGACAUUGUAAAUCAAGAUCAAUGAUGUAAUCUGAAUUCUAAAAAUGCAUUAUGCAUUUUCAAUAUAUUGGGUUCAUGCUUAAAAUAAGAUUUGAGCCCAAAUAGUCAAAAUCACAAAAGAAAUGGAUCAUUAGCAGCAUCAAUAAUGCAUAAAACUAAGAACCAUAAUGAUGAUUCAUAUCACCCUCACUGUUAAUACGGACAACAACACUUAUAAUGACUUAAAAAAAACAAAAAUUUACCUAUCAUCUAUGCUUCAAGCACUCACAAACUGAAUUACCUUUAUUAAUUAAAUGAAGGUUUUGAUUUGGUUUAUGUUAAAGGUAUCCAGAUUUGCUUAAUAUUGGUCACAUGAUUCAAGAUGGCAAUCAUGAUCAACAUGUUAAUUUUUAGGUUCUCGCAGUUUCAUUAAAAUUUGAGGGAACAGUCAUUUCUUGCCUAAAUCCUCUAAUCCUCAGUUGACUUUGUGCACAUAUACAAAUUCAAUUAGACACUCAUUGACUUGUAUUGUUUUAAAAAAUAUAGAGAAAAAUGAAUAGAGGAUUGAUCUUGGUUCGCCCUCAUGAUGGGUAAUGUUGAAAAUGACAAUUAAGGUUUAAAUGGACAUACAGUGAUAGAAACUUGCUCCAACUGUCAUACACAAAUAAAACACUGGUGUUCAGAAUGAUUUACCUAUACUUUCUAAGUCUUUUGCAUUACACUUUAGCCCAUAACAAAGUAUACUGGGUUUUUCUACUCUUAUACAGCCUAAUAUUGUCAACAUGCAAUACUUUCCUUGCUAUGCCAGCAAGUUAGCAAACGAUAAGUUACAUAGAAUACAAUAAAAUAUUUUUCCAUGCACUGACUCCUAGUAAAUCAUCCUUUUAUUCCCUCAUUUACUUUAUUAAGAUAACUCUCAUUUUAGAACCAAGCCUGCAUAAAUCUACAACAUAGAUUUAACCUUGUAAAAACAUUCUUCAUCUCAGUUCAAUCUGAGACUUUCUCCACUUUCUUCUAGCUUAAUAAAACUCACAUCCUCAUGCUUUGAUUUAAAACCUAGGAUUUAGUUACCAACUAUAUUCACCACAUGUUUCCAACAAAAAAAUAACAAAUCCCUUUCACACUCCUAAUAUUGCACAUGAAACCUAAUUUUUUCAAACCCAAGAAUAACAAUUGAUGUAUUUCUUGUUCCUUUGCCUUCUAUCCAAAUAUAAUAAUGCACAAAUUCAUAGAAAGCAGGCUGAUCUUCCCCUAGGAUACCUAAGUUUUCACUACUUGUGACCAUCUAUUACGCUCAGAAUCAACCACUAGACUUAAGGUUUGAAGUCAACUCCUAUGAAGUAAUUCAAUUAAGCCAGCAAGUCUCAAAGAUCCCAUACAAGGUCCAAAUUCCAUGUCGACAGGUCUUGUCCUAUCUCAAAUUUCUUCCUUGGUCACUUAGGCUGCAUUUGACUGUGGCAAAACCCAAAGUAAAUAGGUUAACUUGCUCCUAACUCAUUUUACACCAGAAUAAACUACUCCGUCCUCCAGGAUAGAAUAGUUUACUCAAGAUUCAAUGGAAAAGGUACAGGCACUUUGCCCUCAAAAUAUUUAGUUAGUUUUCUAAAGUUUGGUGGUUUAAAGUGGAACAAAUGGGUUGAAAGGGGCCUUUAUAUCCCUCCUCAUUUAAAUCCAAAUCAAAUACCACCUUAAGAUAUCAAAAAUUUAUAUUUAGGGGUGAAAAACAUCUAUGCAGCUAUGCAGCUCAUUACAAAUAGAAUGUAGAUCUCUCUACUUUGAAAACUUAUUCCAAUUUACAGUACUUAUUCUACUUUUUUUGGUUCCUCUCUUUCUUCAAUCAAUUAAUACCAACGGCCUCCAAAUUCAAAUGUUAAGCAUAGGGAGAUAUGCACCAUGAUUGUGACUCAUAUAAUAUAAAUCCUAAAGAAGAUAAGCAUAACAAACAUUAAACAUAGUACAUAUUAGUCUCAAACCAUCAAUAGUCUUCAAUCCAUCAAGAGAUUCUAGACAAUCCAAAUACAAAAUCAUAAAGAAAUAAGACAAAUAAUAUCUAUUCAGGAACUACACUAUGAAAUUUUGUUUUCAUUGAACACUACUAAAAAUUACACCCAUCAACAUAAGCCUUUAACACAACCAUCACAAUAGGUAAAAUCUUCACCAUCGAUUGCAAAGUGUUACCAAUACACUUCAAAAUCUCAGUUUGUGUUGUGUUCAGACAUCCUGGAUACUUCAUGACAUCCUUGACACUCCAAAACAUUGAAUCAUGAUGUCAUCAUAGUUACAUAUCAACUUUUAGCACUUAUACCUAGAAAUUUUCAAGUCUAAUAUUAAGUUUAGCAAAAACUUUUGUGAAUUUCAUCAUAUUACAAAGAAAUUUCAUCAUAUUACAAAGAAAUUGAUCAAAAAAACUAUUCAUUAUAUACAUAUGUUUAAACAUAUAAUAAGGACACGUCUAUGUAACAUGGGCAUGUUCCCCAUACCCAAUCUUUUGAAAGAUCUUGUAUCUAACACUCCUAAACACUUGCGCCGCACUUGACACCAGUGUCACAUGUCCAUGUAACAUUGCUGUAAAACUUACGAAUUGUACGAGUCUUCUUCAUCAAUUGACCCUCUCAACCUAUCUAAUGUCACUUAAGUCCUCCUUCUUAAUGGGCUUAGUGCAGCAAAUCCAGAUGGACUACAAAUUUGCAAUAUAUACCCAUUUCAGAAACCAUAAUGAAUAGAGAAAUUUCAGGAUGCAACUAUAUGAGGUACGAUCAAAGAAAUUCAAUACAUGGAAUUGCAAUUAGGAGACUCCACAACAAUACAAAGGACAAGUAGAACAAAGUAGGAUAAGAUGAUAUCGUGAUGGCACUAGAUCCUAAACAAUGCCAUGCCAGUAAGAUGCUAUUAGUAUUUCCAUAUCAUCACAAGACUAGAUCCUUGCAAUGCCACAUUAGUGAGAUGCUUCUACUCCCUAUCAGUUAAAAUAAAACCUGAUAAUUCAUGGAGAUAUAAAAUGGCAUCAUAAAACAAGCUUUAAAUAUUUUUGUAGUCUAAAAUUGAUAUGAAACUAAACUUUGUUAUGCAAGUGAAGAUUAUGGGACAUUUCAAGCAAAUAAAAACAUGUCCUCCCAGGAAAUGCUCAAAAUAAGUUUUUAAAACAGUAAAUGGAAAAGGUGUGAGAAAACGCAGCAAACACUCCUUGUGUCAUCAGUGGCAAACGAAAACAGUAGAUUCAUCACUAAGAAACCCCAAAUUAUGCAUGAAAGAGAAAUUUCUACUUUCAUUAAGGAACUUUGUAAUGCAAUAGAUGGAUAAGUUUAUGACAUACUCAUAUAACUGGCAUAUAUAACUUUUCUUUGAAAAAAAAUCUCAAAGCUUGAUUUGCCAUUCAACAAAAUUUGAAAAGAUACACUAGCAAUGCUCAUUUUCUAAUGAACAUCAUAAAUCCCAACUGGGGCAGCUAAUUUUAUUAUGAUGCACCGCAUAGGCAGAACCUAUCUAUAGACUUUCAUAGGUUGCGCGUAACUUCAAGCAGGUGAAUUAUACCUGAUCAAAUCAGUUGCAUACUUUUAUGAAGACAGGGCAUCAAAAGAAAUAGACAAACCUACUGGUCAAAAAAGAACUCCAAACAACAAAUAUCAACAAAUUUAACGCUGUACAAUUUUUAAUUAACAUAACCGUCAAUAUAAUAUUAGUUGAGAAACAUUAGAAUUGUGAAAUAUCUCCUGAGAAGCGAAUGGGCAGAAAGGGGGGGAACCAACAUAAAUAAUAUGAUCCAAACAACCUUACCCACCAGAAACAAAUGAAAAAAGCAACGACCGAAGUCUAUAAAAUGAUAGCAUGCUCUAACUAAAAAAAAGUACAGCAGCUCAUGAGAGAAAUAAAAAGGGUAGAC
Molecule: long non-coding RNA, 66071 nt
Filed under: Phoenix dactylifera (date palm)
Lineage: Eukaryota; Viridiplantae; Streptophyta; Magnoliopsida; Arecales; Arecaceae
Description: long non-coding RNA (PDAC_LNC004244)
Source: RNAcentral